GAUCACCUUGACUAGAGAUUCGUUGGUUCCCUUCCCUUGUAUAUCUAAAUAUGAAGCCCUCCAAGUUUGAACAGUUGUAUAUCGUCAUUGACUUCAUAAAUGGAAAUUCAAUAACUUUAUUUUGAGAAUUGAAGCAAAAUCCACGCAAAUGCUGAAGAUCCUUUAGCUCUAAGGACUCUAACUGAGGAAAUAAUGAUAAAGUCAUGGCAACCUGAGUUUCUUCUUCUAUAUCCUCCCAAAAGAUUAUCUCCUCUAAACAGUUGCACUUAGUUACCUCAAAAUAUUUGAGAUGAACUAGAUAUUUAGCCAUAGAAAAUGAUAAUAGGUAAAUUAUGUUUCCACAACCCUCGAUUUUCAAUGUGGUUAACUUCUCAUGAGUGUAAAAAGAUACAUUUGACAACUGGUUCUGCCAUACCCUUGUAACAUUAAGCGAUGAUAACUGCAAUUUCUCCAAGGAAGGGAACGAUAUCUACAACCAUACACAUAAUUAAUUCUACUUUCAAAUCAAUAUUGUAAAUAUAUGUAUAAUUCUAUUUUUGCAAUUAACAAAAAAUAAAGUCUGCCGAUCAAAAAAACGUGUCAUAAAAUAGAAAAUUUCUAGUAAAUAUAAAAUAUGUUGAGAGUAUUGGGGACAGAAGAACCCAUCAUAUGAUCAGAAGAAGGGAAAAAAUCUCACAUAACUAAGCGACAGCGCAAGAGCAAUACGGCAUGAUUCAGAAAAAGGAAAGAAAGCCUUGAAAGAUAUUGAAUUAUAGAUACCUUUUCUCCGAAAAGUGGCAAUUCACGUUGAGGCAAUGAGGUAGCAUCGAUUUUGUCUUGAGAGCAAAAGCUAACGAGUUGAGGAAGACCCUGCAAUGUCAAGGACUGCAAUUCAAGAAAUUCAUUUCUAUCAUUAGUGAUAGAUUCAAUAUCCAAACCAUUUUGGAUAUGCAGAUUCUGCAAAUGUGAUAGCCUUUCCUCAUCUGAUAACUCCUUCAGUGCAAUCUUCACACCUUUCAGUUCAUCCAAUUGUAAAUCUUGAGUUCUCUUUACCAACUUCUUAAUUCCAUGAUCCAAAUCAUCAAAGCUUGUGUUUAGCCUGAGUUUUAAGGUUCUUGAAUAUUGAUAGUUGCCAAACCGCUCCCAUUCCUUUCCUAUGAAAAUCUUGUAUCUUUCCAACUUCUGCAACUUUUGAAAGAAAUCCUCUGGGGCAGCCUCGGCGUUUGGAAUUUGAACUUCUAAAGUGGACAAAUGAGAUAGUGUGUUCAGUUCAGCAAGACUAGCAUUGGGUUGUCCCCAUUGAAUAGAAGUGCCACCCAUAUAUAAUUCUUCUAAUUUUGACAAACUUGGCAACACGUCAGCUGAAAUUGUUUUGAGUUUAGUACAACCACUUACAUCUAACAACUUUAGCUUCAACAACUGCCCAGUUUCCUUGGGUACAAUUUUGAUAUCAGAUCCAGCAAGGCUAUUGAAGUAAUGGUCAGCAUGCAGCAACCAAGACUAUCGAAGGCACUACAUGCAGAAGCUGCUGGUUCUUCAAGUCAGCAAGCUGUUUAUGUUUCAUUUUGUAAUUUUAAGUUAGAGUAAUGUAACUUAGUUGCAUUAUAACUAUGUUAGGUUUAUGUUUGAUGUAAUUUUGAUGUUGAUUGAGCUGAUAAAUCAGCUUUGUUUAUUUGUUCAAGCUAAUUAGCACAAGUUACUAUGUGUAUUAGUGGUAGUAGCUGAAGUUUAGGUCAACCUACUGUUUUGUCAAGAUUGUAAACUUGUUUUAUGUAUUGGCUUUGUGCCAUAUUCAGUUUGUAGAAUGAAAUCAAUGAAGUUUUCAUCUCUAUGCUCUCUAUUUUAGUUUUAUUUCAAAAUCUGUUUGAGUUUUCUGCUUUGUUUCUACUGCAAGUCACGAGACUUGCUCGACAAGCAUUCUGCUGAAGCUUGCUGCUGUUGCACUUAGAUCCAACAAUUGGUAUCUAGAGCCAUAUUCUUAGAGGACCUGUUGUAGUUUAGUAUCAAAACCAUGGCAUCAUCAGGUUUUUCACCAGCUUCACCACCUGUCUUCAAUGGAGAGGGCUUCAACAUUUGGGCAGUUAAGAUGAGGACUUACCUGCAGGCAUUCGACCUAUGGGAAGUUGUUAACUCAGAUGCUGAGCCAGCACCUCUUCGAGCUAAUCCAACAGUUGCUCAAAUGAGGCAACACGCUGAUGAAAGAACAAAAAGGCACAAGGCCAUGUCAUGCAUAUAGAAUUGUGUGACAAAUGUGAUCUUUAUGAGGAUCAUGGCCUGUGAAACACCAAAGGAGGCUUGGGACAAGCUGAAAGAAGAAUUUCAGGGGACUGAGAGAACAAGGCAACAAUAGCUGCUCAAUUUAAGAAGAGAUUUCGAAAAUCUCAAAAUGAAAGAGGAAGAAACAGUUAAGCAGUACUCAGAUCGGAUUAUGGUUGUUGUAAACAGCAUAAGGCUCCUUGGAGAGCAAUUCAGUGAAGCUAGAAUAGUUGAGAAAGUUAUGUCCACUCUACCAGAGAGGUAUGAAGCCAAAAUUUCAUCUCUCAAAGACUCAAGGGACUUGACAACUAUCUCUUUAACUGAGCUAAUCAAUGCCUUGUAUGCACAAGAGCAAAGAAGAGCCAGCAGACAAGAGGAGCACCAGGAAGGUGCUUUUCAAGCCAAAACAAAAGAAGCCUCGAGCACCAAUGCUCAUAAAGGCAAAAAGUUCUAGAAAAACAGGCCUAAGCCUGAUGCUGCUAGAAGCAGUGACCAACUCUGCAGACAUUGUAAAAGAGCUGGUCAUCCAGAAGAUAGAUGCUGGUUUAGACCAGAUGCAGGAUGCCAACACUGCAAGAAAAAGGGCCAUGUUGAAAAGGUUUGCAAGAACAGAAGCAAACCAAGACAGAAUCAAUUUCAGCAACAAAAGGCAGAAGCUCGAGUAGCUGAAGAAAGCAGUGAUCAAGAAGAACAUGUUUUUGCUGUGUCAUGUGCAGCAAGUCAGAAGAAGAGUUCAAAGGGCUGGCUUCUAGACAGUGGGUGCACAAACCACAUGUCACCAGAUGCAACUAUCUUCAAAACCUUGGACAGAACCUGCAAAACCAAGGUGAAAAUUGGAAAUGGUCAGUUUAUUAAUGCUGAAGGAAGAGGAGAUGUGCUGAUUCAUACCUCUACAGGUAGCAAAAUCAUUUCAAAUGUACUUUUGGUACCUGAAAUCGAUAGGAACCUUCUCAGUAUAACUCAACUACUUGAGAAAGGUUACUCAGUUGUGUUCCAGGAGAAAGAAUGCCAAAUUUUUGAUCCAAGUGGAUCAAAUCUCAUAACAGUCACCAUGACUGAUAAAUGUUUUGAAGUAGACUGGCCAAAUGACUUGCAUUCAGCCUGCAUAGCCUUCACUGAUGACUCUAGACUCUGGCACCAGAGGCUUGGACAUGCAAACUUCAAAUCCAUAGCCCGAAUGGUCAAUGAAGGACUUGCUGAAAAUUUCAUCGAUUCAGUGAAGAAUGAUGAGCUUUGUGAGAUAUGUCAGCAAGGAAAAUUGGCAAGAUUGCCAUUUCCUACAGGCACAACAUGUAGAGCAUCAGAGAAGCUGCAGCUUGUGCACACUGAUGUGUGUGGACCAAUGAAGACCGAGUCUCUCAAAGGAAGCAGGUACUUUAUACUCUUUAUUGAUGAUUUGACAAGAUACUGCUGGAUUUAUUUUCUAAAGCAAAAAUCAGAAGUUGCAUCUGUGUUCUUGAAGUAUAAAGCUGCUGUUGAAACUGAGUCUGGUUGCAAACUUAAAGCACUGAGGUCAGAUAAUGGAACUGAGUACACCUCAGCUCAGUUCCAAGCCUACUGUGAAGAAGCAGGCAUCAAACACCAGUUGACUAAUGUGUAUACACCCCAACAGAAUGGGGUCAGUGAAAGGAAAAAUAGAAGCUUGAUGAACAUGGCAAGAUGUCUUAUGUUUGAGAAGAAUUUGCCCAAAACUCUGUGGGCUGAAGCUGUUAACACAGCAGUUUAUCUCCAAAACAGGCUCCCAACUAAGGCUCUGGCUGAGAAGACUCCGUUUGAAGCCUGGUUUGAGUUUAAGCCAUCACUAGCUCAUCUCAGAACCUUUGGUUGUCUGUGCUACACUCAAGUUCCAGCUGAGAAAAGAAGCAAACUAGAUAAAAGAGCUCAAGCAGGGAUCCUGAUCGGCUAUAGUUUGGUUAAAAAGGGUUACAGAAUCCUAAAACCUGCUACAAACAAGAUACUGGUUAGCAGGGAUGUUGUCUUCAAUGAAAAAGGAUACUGGAAUUGGGAAAAGGCUAAGCCAGAGGCAGUGGCUGAAGAUCUGGCAUUGGACCAAGCUGAAGAUAAUGAAAACACACUUGAAAUGGAUGUAGAUGAUGUUCCAAUCAGAUGUACUCGAUCACUGGCUGAUGUUUAUGAAAGAGCACAAGUGGCCACUGUUGAACCAAGUUGCUUUGAAGAAGCAGAGAGCCAGGAGGGGUGGAAGCAGGCAAUGAUUGAAGAAAUCAGAAUGAUUGAAAAGAAUCAGACCUGGAGUCUGAUUGAAAGACCAACAAACAGGAAGAUUAUUGGUGUCAAAUGGGUUUAUCGAGUUAAGAACAAUGUUGAUGGUAGCCUAAACAAGUUAAAGGCUAGACUGGUUGUGAAAGGCUUCAGUCAAAGGUAUGGAUCAGACUACCUGGAAACCUUUGCACCAGUGGCCAGGCUAGACACCAUCAGACUGCUAGUUGCCUUAGCAGCACAAAAACAGUGGUUGAUACACCAACUUGAUGUAAAAUCAGCAUUUCUAAAUGGAUUCCUUGAAGAGGAGAUUUAUGUGGAGCAACCUCAAGGUUUCAAGGUGUCUGGCAAGGAAGAAAUGGUGUACAAGCUCAACAAAGCCUUGUAUGGCUUGAAACAGGCUCCAAGGGCCUGGUAUAGUAGAAUAGAUGGCUAUCUGACCAGUCUAGGAUUUGAAAGAAGUCUUAGCGAGCCAACUCUGUAUGUUAAAUCAACUAGUGCUGAAACUCAGCUCAUUGUCUCAAUAUAUGUCGAUGACCUACUGGUGACAGGAGGAGAUCAUGAGAUGCUAAGCAGCUUUAAAGCCAAAAUGCAACAGCACUUUGAAAUGUCAGACUUGGAAUUGAUGUCUUACUUCUUAGGCAUGGAAGUAACUCAAGCUAAGAAUGGGAUUUGGCUAAGUCAAAAGACCUUUGCUAUGAAGGUUCUCAACAAAUUCUCAAUGGAGAAUUGCAAAGCAACCAGCACACCAGUUGCUAUUGGAGAAAAACUCUCGAGCCAAGACAAGCAUGAAAAGGUUUGUGAAACAACCUAUCGAAGUCUAGUUGGAUGUUUGUUGUAUUUGACUGCUACUAGACGUGACAUAAUGUAUGCUGUAAGUCUACUCUCGAGGUUUAUGCAUUGUUCAAAUGAAAGUCAUUUUAGAGCUGCAAAAAGGGUUCUAAGAUACAUCAAAGGAACCUUGUCCUAUGGAAUGCAGUUUACCAAGGCUGAGAACUUGAAGCUAGUUGGAUAUUGUGACAGUGAUUGGGCUGGUUCCUUGGAUGACAUGAAGAGCACUACAGGUUAUGCAUUCAACAUAGGCUCUGCUAUGAUUUGUUGGAGCUCAAAGAAGCAGGGAGUAGUGGCUCAGUCGACUGCAGAAGCAGAAUAUGUGGCUGCUGCUGCAGCAGUCAAUCAAGCCAUAUGGCUUAGAAAAAUUUUGAAAGAUAUCAAUCAUGAGCAAAAGGAAGCAACUGAGAUAAUGUGUGACAACCAAUCAGUAGUUGCUAUUGCAAAGAAUCCUGUUUUUCAUGGAAGGACCAAGCACUUCAACAUCAAACUUCAUGCAGUUCGAGAAAUGGAGCAAGCUCAUGUUGUUAAGCUGAUACAUUGCAGUUCUGAAGAGCAAAUUGCUGACAUUUUAACAAAAGCACUAAGUGUUUCCAAGUUUCAACACCUGAGAGCUAAGAUGGGAGUUUGCAACAUGCUAACCAAGGAGGAGUGUUGAAGUAAUGGUCAGCAUGCAGCAACCAAGACUAUCGAAGGCACUACAUGUAGAAGCUGCUGGUUCUUCAAGUCAGCAAGCUGUUUAUGUUUCAUUUUGUAAUUUUAAGUUAGAGUAAUGUAACUUAGUUGCAUUAUAACUAUGUUAGGUUUAUGUUUGAUGUAAUUUUGAUGUUGAUUGAGCUGAUAAAUCAGCUUUGUUUAUUUGUUCAAGCUAAUUAGCACAAGUUACUAUGUGUAUUAGUGGUAGUAGCUGAAGUUUAGGUCAACCUACUGUUUUGUCAAGAUUGUAAACUUGUUUUAUGUAUUGGCUUUGUGCCAUAUUUAGUUUGUAGAAUGAAAUCAAUGAAGUUUUCAUCUAUAUGCUCUCUAUUUUAGUUUUAUUUCAAAAUCUGUUUGAGUUUUCUGCUUUGUUUCUACUGCAAGUCACGAGACUUGCUCGACAAGCAUUCUGCUGAAGCUUGCUGCUGUUGCACUUAGAUCCAACAAAGGCUAAGCACAUUUAAGUUCUUGAGAGCUCCAAUAACGGUUAGGUUAUCUCCCAAAUUGCAGCAAUCUAGGCACAAUGUACUGAGGCUAGUUAGGAGACCAAUCGAUGAAGGUAAAGAAGAAAAAUGCAUGCGAGUCAAAUCUAAGACUUUAAGAUUUUUUGCUUCCUUGAAGAAGUUAUCCGACAACAUCGCCUUGCUUGACAAAAGGAAAAGAAAAAGCAGCGGGCAAUUCAACUGGUCAGGAAGCUUGUAAAUACUAGAAUGCGGCAAAAUAAUCUUGUUGCACUCUUUCAUUGACUCUCCAUUUGGCCAAUCUGUUACAAUAUCCUCAUCCUCUGUUAAAGCAAGCACUUGAUUGUCCUUUGAAGCGAUUGAUUUGGCCACAAUAUAAGUAAGAUCAUGCACAUCAAAGUAUUCCUUAUUGGAACUUUUGCUAUCAAGCAACAAACAAGAUUCUUUGAGGGUACUCAGCAUUUUUAACAGCCUAUCUCGUGCUGCUUUCAUGCUGUUGGCUCCUUUAAUUAGACCCAAACCAAGAGCAUAUCUCAACAAGCCUUCAAUCCUAACGACACGACGCAGUAAACUGCAAAGUAGGAAAAUUUGCUUGAGGUCUUCACUCGAUAAAUGAUUGAUACUCAACUCAGUAGCCGAAUGUACCUUAGCAGAUAUAUCAUCUGAGCUUUUUUCUAAGUAAGGCCUCUGUAAUUGUUGUAAAGCAUCACUCCAAAAAAAUAAAUGUUUAUUUCGCAACGCCCUUGCAACUGUAAAGCAUCACUCCAAAAAAAUAAAGGUUUAUUUCGCAACGCCCUUGCAACAGUUGCAAGGGCGAGUGGUAAUCUUGCACAUUUCUCGGCUACCUUAAUUGCUGUAGAUCGCAGCUCCUCAUCACUUUCAAAACUGUCCCCGGCCAUCUUCCUAAAGAACUCCCAAGCUUCUUCGUUUUCUAAAUCACCAAUUGCAAAGGUCUUUGUAGCAUCCAUUCCAUUGCUUAGAACAUUUUGAUCUCUUGAGGUCAACAGUAUUUUGCAUCCUUUGUGUCGACUUCCAAAUGGAAUUCCGACUUCCUCUAGAUCCAGUUUCUUCCAAAGAUCAUCCAAAAUAAUAAGAACAUUUUUAUCCUUCCUUAACCUUUCAAACAAUCUACGGGCUCUUACAACCGGACUGUUUUCUUCAAGCUUCAAACCCAAUGAGUAUGCUAUUUGGUCUUGGAUUUCCUUAAUGUCAGGAAUUCGAGAUACAAUUGCCCUGACAACUGAAUCGAAUAACUUAACCUCAUGGAGUUGUCUCUCAACUUCUUUGACCAGCGAUGUUUUGCCCACACCAGCCAUCCCGUACACUCCAAUCAUGCCUGUUGUUGCAUCUUUCAGUGACUCCAUGAUAUCAUCGAAAACCUCCUCUCUUGAUUUAAAUGCCUCAAAGUCUGGAUGGACUAUGGGUCCAGGAACAUCAUGGUAUCCCACGCCCUCAAAUUGGCAAUCUUUGAUAAGCUCAUCAAAAGUGGCAGCAGCUUCUUCAGCUUUCCUGCUAAGCUGUUAGCGAGACUUGAUGUUGGGACACAAGCCAAAGAAGCACUUGGUCUUCGCUUUGACUUCAAGAUCCUUCACUUUCUUCUCCUUUUCAGUGACAACCUUCUCCACUCGGUGGCGCCAAUCCAGGACAUCGGCUUUAAUCUUCUCCCCGUUCAUUUCUGCAACAUCAACAUCUUGCUGCACACUUGUUCUUUUUGCAAUCAACGUCCUGUGUUUCUGCUCGAACUUGUCAACAAUUUUCUGGUAGAAGAUUACAUAUGUAAUAUGACGUUUAACAUGGUGGAAAAUACCUUUGGCAGCCUCGGAAGAGACAUUGGCAGCAGCACCAGUACCAAUUGCUUCCAUUUUUAUUUUAUUUUUUUGCUUUGGGGAUACAGAUGACAGUCAGAGAGUAGAAAAAGAGGCAAGAAAGAAAAUACUAAAAGGAAAUAAGCAAGCAAGAAGAAAUCAGAAAUGAUGUGAAGAAGCCAUUAGCAGAUAAGGAAUAGAAAUUCAGAAAGGCGUGGAAUUGGAUAUGGACUGUUGUCUUUGACUCUGUUAGACUUUAGAUUAGAAAUCAAAGAACCAGCAAAAGAAAGCAGAGAAUGGAUGUGGACGGUUGCGGGUAUUUUCAGUGGAAAUUAAGUUUAAUGAUUUAACUUAUAAAAAUUACAUAAUUAUUUAUGAGAAUAUUAUAUUUUUAUUAGGGAUGUUCAUUCGGUUGACCGACCCGAAAUAAUAUUAAUUGAAUUAACCAACUUUUUAAAAUCUUUAACCGUUAACCGAACCAAAAUUUUUUAAAAAAAAUUAACCGAACCGAAAUUUUUCGGUUAAUAGAUUACUCCUAUUGUUGAUAUAUGCAACCGCACAACAUUGCAAUUAAAAAAAUUACAAGAAAAAAAGUUCAAUUUUUUAUCCUCUUACUAGAUUUAUUUGGUCAAGCAAACAAAAGAGAUCAAACUUUGUAAAACAACAAUCAUCCUCCAUCUCCUUCCCCAUUCAUCUUCAAGUUUUUCAUUGUUCUUAUACCCUCGCUCAAAUCUCACAAUCUCAAAUACUAUACCAAAUCAAUAUCCAACUUUACUAGACCCAAACUACAUCACCACUUCAUCAUCGAGCACUCAUCGCUAAACCCACAUCGAAAGACGUCUUUUUUUUUUUACAAACAUACCUAAACUCUGUUUCGCAUUUUCUUUUAAUGAGGAAAAAUCAGUUAAUGAAGCAUCACUUAGUCUUAAGCAUCUAAAUCCCUCAAAGCCCUGCAUUUUGCAGCUGAAAUAGAGCCAAAGAUGUUUCUAUAAUUAAAGGCUUUUUUAUUUGAAUCUCUCAGCCAACUAUUUGAUCAUGGUUCUAGUAGAAUUUGGUAGUGAUUGAUUCAAAAAAGUAAUUCAAAAGACUCAUUUAGUUGGGUGAGGUUUAAAGAAAAAAAAGGAAAUAUUUAUUCAAAAAAUUCAAGAAAAUUUGAGGGUUAAAUUUUGUUGAAUCCCUAAAAAAAAGGUAAAUUAAAGAAAUAUUUAUUUGAAUCCCUCAACCAAAUUCAUAUUUAAUCCUUUAUGUAAUUUUAUAUAUAUUUUUAGUAAUUUAUAUUUUUAUGUCAUUUUAUAAUAAAUUUUUAUAUAUUUUCAAGUUUUUAAAACUAUAAUUUUUUUUAAUUUGGACUAAAUUGCCAAAAUAAGCAAAUAUUGAGGGUUAAAUUUGUUGAAUUUUUAGAAUUAAGAACAAAUAGACAAAAUGUGUAAAGUGUUAAGGGUUAAUUUUGUUUUUAUAACAAGUAAAAGACGAUCAUGUCAACAUUUUGUUUAGUGACCAAGGCAUUUUAAUGGAGUGACUAAAAAUGACAAUUAAUCUAACGGGUGACUAAAUUAACAAAAACAAAUCGNNNNNNNNNNNNNNNNNNNNNNNNNNNNNNNNNNNNNNNNNNNNNNNNNNNNNNNNNNNNNNNNNNNNNNNNNNNNNNNNNNNNNNNNNNNNNNNNNNNNNNNNNNNNNNNNNNNNNNNNNNNNNNNNNNNNNNNNNNNNNNNNNNNNNNNNNNNNNNNNNNNNNNNNNNGAUGAGUGACAAAAAAUAAUAUUUCAAUACCUUUAAUGGUAAUUAUAUAACUUUUGAAAGUUGAAUGACUGAAAUACAAUUUGAAUCAAAGUUUAGAAACAAUUGGUAUAGUUUAUUCUAUUUUAUACACUUUUGAACCCUCAGUAAAUUCUUCUUAAUAUUAUUUUAGUUCUAAUUAGUUAUGAUUAAUUAAAUAAAACUAAUGUAAAAAAUUAAAUAAAACUAAAAAAAGAUUAUUAUGAUAAUAUUUUUUUAUACUUUUAAAUUUUUUAAAGAAAAAAAUUAUAAAUUAAAUAAUUAAAUACAUGUUGAAUAAUAUUAUAAUACAAGUUUAUUAUCAGUUGACCUAUAUCUAUAAUUAAAUAAUUUUUUUUAAAAAUUAACAUAUAAUUUUUUUUUAUUGGUGGGCAAUUUAGGGAAAUUUGAGUAGAAGUAGUAGGUUAAUUUUCCAAUAAAAGCCCUUUUUUUUUCAAAAUUUACCGGAAUGAGCCGAUUUUUUGAUUAUUUACCGGAAUGGGCCAUUUUCCGCGAAAUCUCAUCCACGUCAGUGCGAUGCCAGGGUACGCGCCAGGAAAUCGCGUCCACGUCAGCGCGACUUGCUGACGUGGACAGAAAUCGCGCCCUAGAGGAUGCGAUUUGCUGACGUGGCAUGAACAGUUUAUGUUUUUUAGCUUGAAAAACUUCGAAAGACCAUAACUUUUGGCUCGGUUGUCCGAUUGAGCCGAUUUUUUUAUUUCGAAUAAAUUUUUGAGAUCUACGCGCUGACAAACUCUUAGAGAUGAAUAGGGACUAAUUUGUAAAGUAUAAUUUGUUAGUUACGAGUAUAGGGACUAAAGUGUAAUUAUUUCAAAAUUAGCAUGAAAUUUUUGUAUUUAAGAAUAUUUGAAUGUUAUGGAAGGAUGAAAUUGAAUUUGAAUUGAAAAACGAAGCUUAGAUUUGAAAAUAUGACUAUUUAGGUUUUAGGGACUAAAUUGAAUAAAAUGGAAAAUUUUAGGGAACUUCUCAAAAGUGGAAUGAGCUGACUUAUACCUAUAACAGGAUGAUAUAAGACAAUUCUGUAAAAAGAGAUCCGGUGUUUACUUCAAAUAAAUGAGGAAAAUAACGAUUUGAAUGUUUCAAAAUUCAAUUUUAAACCAAAAAAAUCGAAAUUUAGGGGCAAAAAAGGAUCUUUUUCGAUGAAAAAUUUGGCAAACCGCCUACGGCUAUUUGCCAGUGCGUAGAUCUUGAAAAUUUAUUCGAAAUAAAAAAAUCGUCUCAAUCGGACAACCGAGCGAAAAGUUAUGGCCUUUCAAAGUUUUCCAAGCUUAAAAACAUAAACUGUUCAUCCACGUCAGCAAAUCGCGUCCUUGUAGGCGCGAUUUGUGUCCACGUAAGCAAAUCGCGCUGACGUGGACGCGAUGUCCUGACACGUACCCUGACAUCGCGCUUACGUGGACGCGAUUUCGUGAAAAAUGGCCCAUUCUGGUAAGUAAUUAAAAAAAACCGGCCCAUUUCGAUAAAUUUUAACGACUUUUUUUUGGUAAAAUAGCCGAAGUAGUAAUAUUUUUAUUUUCAGUUUUGAAGUUUCAACCUUAUUUUGUUUUCAGCUUGUUCAAUAAUUGAUAAGGUUGGCCACUUGUUCAAUAAUUGAGGAGGCUGGUCGUGUGGGUCUCAUGAAAUGGCACGUGACAUCAUAAUUGAUUUCCUAUUGUUUCGGUUCUACAAAAUAGUUUAUAUUUUGUUUUGCUUGAAAUUGUAAUGUGUUUCAACUCAAUUUUGGUUAAUAUCAAUUUGUAUUGGUGUAUUUAAAUUAAAUUACAGAGUAAAAAAGUAAAAAAUAAAAUAUAUUUUCUAUAUUCGAAAUUUAACAUUUCUACUUUUAUUUUUAGAAAUUCAAUUUAUCUAUUUUCGAAAUUAAAAAUAUAGAUCUAAUUGCUAUCACCGUUAAAAUUUUCUAUAAAAUUAUACAAUGACAUUUAAAAAUUAAAAAAGUUUACUUGAUAACCAUGUAAUAAUAAAAAUAAUGUUAUAAAUAUCGAUUGAGAUUUUUUUUAACACUGUACAUUUGAAUUUGUUAUGGUAAAAAAAUUUUCCCAUUUGAAUAGUAUUUUUAACAAAAAUUGACAUCAAAAUUUGGAUAACAAUUUAACUUAAAGUAAAAAACUAAAUUAUGUUAAAAACUGAACUAUACAUAUAACAACCCACAUUUAAUCCAAUCAUUAAAUCUAAAUAUACAACAUCAGAAGCAAUUUGAAGUAGCUUCUCUUUAAAAGAAACAACACAAAUAUCAAGCAUUUAUCACCUUAUACAAACAUAAACAAUUUAUCACAUUCGAAAUGAAGCGAAUUUAAAAACAUAAACAAUUUAAAACAUGUUAUAUUAAAAACUGUAAGUAAUCAUUGUAAAAGUAUAUGUAUGUACUUUUUUUUUAAUUAAAAAAUUGUUUUCUAUUUGAAAAAUUCAGUUACAGUAAUUUUUUUAGUGUAAGAUAUAAACUUUAAUAUUUUUUUAAAUGUUAGUUACUUUAUUAACCUGUUAUUAAAUUUAAUAAUGAAUAACCAAAAUGUCAUAAAUUUCUAUUCAUUUGAAAUCUUUAAAUUAAAAUAAGUAAACCAAAGAUAUUAGAACGAAUUAAUACAAAAUAAAGUAUAUUUUUAAUGAUUUUUGUUAAAAUAAAAUGAUAAAAAUAUCUUCAAAUAAUAUAAUUAUUUUACUUUCGAAAAAUUAUUUGCGUAAUUUUUUUAAUCGAUCUGGUACCCGAUUGACUCGUAACACCAACUUAGACAAAAAUUUAAAUAAUAGCUUAGAUUUAUCAAUAAUUUAUUAUAUUAUUCAUCAUAUAUUACUAGUUUAUAAUUAUUUAUAAAAUUUACUAUAUAUUAUGAAUAUAUCAUAAAGAUAAAAUUAUUUAUCAUUCAGAGAUUUUGUAACACCCAAAAAUUUUGGUGACAUAAAUAGUAAAAUUUUCUUAUUUUCAUAUCUUUUUAAACAGAAAAAAACAAUGAUUUUAUUCAAAGAAAAAAAAAGGUUAAAAAGAAGCAAAAGGGUUUUGGAAGGCAAACAAUAAAGUGUAAAGAAGCUUUAAAUGUUUAAGGUUAUUUAAAUAUUCACAUGGAAAUAUUUCAUUAAUGGAAGCAUCAAUCACAACAAUAUUUAAGGUUAUAUCUCCAUGCAUGCAUACCAUGUUGUAUCCUUCCAUCUUUGCCAAAGUAUGUAUUAAAAUAAUAUUUCAUUAAUUGGAUGUCUUUUUAAGGAUGUAAAUGAUCAUUGGUUAUGUGGGUACUCCUUGAAAGUCAGCAAGGAAACUUUAUGCGGAAUCCCGGAUCUAAACACAAGAGAAACACAAAUUAGAAAUAAAAAAUAAGAAUAAAUAAAAGUAGUUAAAUAAUAAUAAAAAAUAGAUUUACCCUAUAGAACCCUUGGUUAACUUGCAACCAAAAACGCCAAUGAUUGAGCGGCUCCCUACGAAACCCCUAGAAGAAGAACCUCUAGAAACACCAAUGAACAGGAAAGAAAUUUGAAUAUUUGCAACUCCGAAAUACCCUCGAAAGUAACAAGCUCCAAACUAAAUAGCAAGAGAAGAAUCACUCUACUCUCAAAAAUUUGCCUCACACAAAUUUGAAUGAAAACAAAUACUCUUCUUUUUAUUCCUCCUCCAAUGUGUAGAAAACAAGCCUAUUUAUAGGCAAAUUACAAGAGUAAUUGAAUCCUAAUAAAACUCUUUUAAGAGUAAUUGAAUCCUAAUAAAAACUCUUUAAAGAGUAAUUGAAUCCUAAUAAAACUCUUUAAAAUUAUCUAAGAAAAUAAAUAAAUAAUAACCUAACCAAUAAAAUUACUUAACUCAUAAAUGAUGUGUCCCAACCAAUGAGAAUUAAGCAAAUAAUAAUAAUAAUAAUAAGAUACAUAANNNNNNNNNNNNNNNNNNNNNNNNNNNNNNNNNNNNNNNNNNNNNNNNNNNNNNNNNNNNNNNNNNNNNNNNNNNNNNNNNNNNNNNNNNNNNNNNNNNNNNNNNNNNNNNNNNNNNNNNNNNNNNNNNNNNNNNNNGAUUUUAAUUGUCGUGCCUUGCUUCGAGUGAUUGGACCACUAGGAAAGACAACCCUUUGAGUGUCACCUCCUUGACUCGUAUCAUUCUCCCCCUCUUCAAGAAGAUUCGUCCUCGAAUCUGAACCUACAUCAAAUUCAAAAGGAGAAAGAUCAGAAACAUUGAAAGUAGCACUAACACUAUACUCACCAGGAAGAUCAAUGCGAUAAGCAUUGUCAUUUAUUUUCUCGAGUACUUGGAAUGGUCCAUGUCCUCGUGCAUCAAGUUUAUUCUUUCUCUUAGAAGGAAAUCGUUCCUUCCUCAUAUGCACCCAUACCCAAUCUCCAGGUUCAAACAAGACUUGCUUUCGUCCUUUAUUAACUCGAUGUGCAUUGGACUCAUUCUUUUUCUCAAUGGCUUUACGAGCCUUCUCAUGGAUCUCUUUCACUAAAUCAGCUUUCCUUUCACCAUCUAAAUUAGCAAUCUCAUUCAAAGGUAAAGGAAGCAAAUCUAAAACAGUAAGUGGAUUAAAGCCAUAUACAAUCUCAAAAUGAAUAAAACCUGUGGAAGAAUGAACAGAACGAUUAUAAGCAAACUCAACAUAUUCUUCCCAAGAUUUAACAUUCUUACCUAUUAUGGCUCUAAGCAAAGAUCCCAAAACUCGAUUUACCACAUUGGUUUGACCAUCAGUUUGAGGGUGGCAUGUAGUAGAGUAAAGUAGUUUAGUACCUAACUUACCCCAUAACACCUUCCAAAAGUUACUAAGAAAUUUUGCAUCUCUAUCGAAACGAUAGUCCUUGGGAUUUCAUGUAAUCUCACAACUUCACGGAAAAAUAGAUCGGCAACAUGGGUUGCAUCAUCAGUCUUAUGGCAUGGAAUGAAAUGAGCCAUUUUAGAAAAUCGAUCUACAACCACAAAGAUGCUAUCUAGUCCACGCUUUGUCCUUGGUAAACCUAUUACAAAAUCCAUUGAAAUGUCAGUUCAAGGUGAACUAGGAACAGGAAGAGGAGUGUAUAGACCAUGAUGCAUCACAGUGGAUUUAGCUUGUUUACAAGUAAUGCAAGUAGAGCAAAUUUUCUCAACAAGUUUUCAUAUGUUAGGCCAAUAAAAAUGCUCAUGUAAAACAUCAUAAGUCUUAGUGACUCCAAAAUGACCCAUAAGACCACCACUAUGAGCCUCUCGAACCAACAAUUCUCGUAUUGAACACUUUGGUAAGCAUAGUCUAUUAUUUCGAAAAAGAUAGCCAUCGUGCUUAUAAAAUUUGUGAAAUGUACCAUGUUUACAUGCGUCAUAAAUGCUUGAAAAAUUAGAAUCAGUGGCAUAUAAAUCUUUGAGAUACUCAAAACCUAAUAACUUAGUAUGCAAAGUACUAAGUAAAGUGUACCUCCUUGAUAGAGCAUCAGCCACAAUAUUAUCUUUACCUUUCUUAUACCUUAUAACAUAAGGAAAAGAUUCAAUGAAUUCAACCCACCUCGCAUGUCGCUUGUUCAACUUACCUUGUCCCUUUAAGUGCUUAAGUGAUUCAUGGUCAGUGUGAAUCACAAACUCCUUUGAUAAAAGGUAAUGUUGCCAAACUUCUAAUGCCCUUACCAAGGCAUACAACUCUUUAUCAUAGGUCGAAUAGUUCAAAUGUGCUCCACCAAGUUUCUCACUAAAGUAGGCUAGUGGUUUACUAUCUUGCAUGAGGACGGCACCUAUACCUACACCAGAAGCAUCACAUUCAAUCUCAAAGGUCUUUUCAAAAUUAGGUAAAACAAGAAUAGGAGCAUUACAUAAUUUAUCUUUAAGUUCAUUAAAUGCUAAUUCUUACUUAUCUGUCCAAUGAAAAGAUACAUCAUUUUUAAUAAGUGCAGUCAAAGGCGAAGCAAUUGUGGAAAAGUUACGAACAAACCUGCAGUAGAAACCGGCUAACCCAAGGAAAGAUCUUACCUCAGAAAUAGUUUUAGGGAUAGGCCAUUCUUUAAUUGCCUUUACCUUCUCCUCAUCCACAUGGAUUCUUGUAGAACUUAUCACAAAACCCAAAAAAACAAGCUUAUCCAUACAAAAGGUGCAUUUUUCAAGACUAGCAAAGAGUCGUUCAUGCCUUAACACAUCCAAUACUAAUUUAACGUGCCCAACAUGAUCAUUCAAAGUUUUACUAUAAAUCAGUAUAUCAUCAAAAUACACAACGACAAAUUUUCCUAAAAAAGGUCUAAGUAUGUGGUUCAUUAAUCUCAUGAAUGUGCUAGGAGCAUUAGUUAAGCCAAAUGGCAUGACUAACCACUCAUACAGGCCAUACUUAGUCUUAAAAGUAGUUUUUCAUUCAUCACAUUGUUUCAUUCUUAUUUGAUGGUAACCACUUUUUAAGUCAAUUUUAGAGAAAAUGCAUGCACCAUUAAGCUCAUCCAACAUAUCAUCUAAUCGAGGAAUUGGAUGUCGAUACUUUACCGUAAUCUUGUUGACAGCACGACAAUCAACACACAUUCUCUAAGAACCAUCUUUUUUUGGGAUGAGAAGUACAGGGACCGCACAAGGGCUUAGACUCUCACGAAUCAACCCUUUCUUUAAGAGAUCUUCAACUUGCCUUUGCAACUCCUUAGUUUCUUCAGGAUUGCUUCGAUAGACUAGUCUAUUCGGAAUACUCGAACCAGGCACAAAGUCAAUUUGAUGUUCAAUCCCUCGUAAAGGAGGUAAUCCCUUAGGCAUUUCAGAAGGAAAUACAUCCUCAAAAUCCUGCAAAAGAUCAACAAAACAACUAGGCAAAUGUGUAUUAGGGUUAGUCAAAACAAAGUUUUCCCUAAACCUAAUAAUUACAAAUGUUUGUUUUGUACAAAGAGUAAAUUUGAUAUCUCAAAACCUAGCGAAUAAACUCACUCUCUCAUCUCGUGACUUGUGUGUGCAAUCACUCACCAAUGUUGGGCCUUUAAGCUGGCUUUUAACACUAAGGGCCUCUUUACUCUCAGCCUUUUUCAAUGAUUUUACCUCACUUCCCUUACCCAUCUCACUAGCAAGUUUGAGUUGAUCAUUGUAGACUUAUUGAGGAGGAAGUGGAGCCAAAGUAAACUUCUUUCCAAGGAACACAAAGGUAUAUUGGUUAAGGAAACCAUAAUGAUUUACUCGUUGAUCAAACUGCCAUGGCCGUCCAAGUAAUAUGUGCCCAGCUUGCAUUGGAACAACAUCACACAAAACUUUAUCAAAGUAUCUACCAAUGGAAAAUGAAACUAAGCAUUGUUUAGAUACUUUUACCUCCCCACUAUCAUUCAGCCAUUGCAAGCGGUAUGGCCUUGGAUGCUUCACACAAGGUAGGCCAAGUUUCUCAACAAGGGAAGAACUCACCAUAUUGGUGCAACUUCCACUAUCGAUGAUCAAUUAACUAGGUUGUCCAUCAAUCAAACAUCUCGUGUGGAAAAUGUUAUCUCUUUGUUCGCGCCCUUCCUCUUUAAACUGGACAUUUAAAGCCCUUCGAGCAACAAGUGAUUUCUCACCAUACUCUAAGUAUUCUUCAUACUCAUCAUGAGCAUCUUCCAAAGGAGGCAUUUCAUCUUCGUUAUUAGACUCAAAAUCAACCUCGCCAUCUUCUCGAAUCACCAAUGACUUUUUAUUAGGGCAUUCUCGAGCACAGUGACCCCUUUCUUGGCAUUUGAAGCAGGUAAUAUCUUUUGGCUACUUAAUGGCACUAGGAGAAGUAGAAGAAGAAGAUAGAGCUUGAUUAGUAGAAGUAGAACCUUUAAAUGAAUUAGGCAUACCUCUAUCUCAUACCUCUAUCUUUGGAGUAAGUUCUAGGCUCAUUUGGCUUGGACCGUGCAUCUCUCCCAUUCCACAAUCUAUCAUCUUGUUUUUGCCAAUUUCCUCUCCAAGCAGGAUUAGAAACUGAACUAGUACCCCUCGGUGUCCCUUUCUUUCGUAAUUGCUUUUCAAUGGUGAGUGCGAUUUGAAGCAUCUCUUCAACAUCCAUGUAGUGUUGUAACUCAACUCGAUUUGCAAUCUCAGGCUUUAGGCCGGCAAGGAAUCUAGCCAUAGUUACAUCAGCCUCUUCAACAAGAUUGGCUUUAAUCUGAAUAGUCUCUAUCUCUUUGUAGUAGUCAUCCACAGAUCUAUCUCCUUGAACAAGAUGUUGGAGUCUUUGAUGGAGUUCUCGAUAAUAGUAUGGUGGAACAAACUGUUUUCGCAAGAUGCGCUUCAUUUCAACCCAAGUAGUAACAGGUUGCUCUCUAUAAAGAAUCCUGCUUUUACAAAAUUGAUUCCACCAUGUUAGUGCAUAAUUAAUGAACUCAGCGAUAGCGUAUGUUACCUUUUUCUCAUCAGAGUAAUUGUAACAAGCAAUGACUGCUUCCAUCUUUUCCUCCCAAUCAAGGUAAGCAUCAGGAUCAUUCUUCCCUGAGAAAGAAAGAAAUUUUGGUUUGGGGGUGUCAUUGUUUCAUUCCACCCUUUCUCUAGGUACAUACUCGGACUCAAAGUCAUCAUCAAAAACAUGGUCCUUCCUUCGUUUAAAAGUUCGAUCUCGCAAAUUUGAUCAGAUUAUAAAGGCUUCGUUCAACUUCUUGUAAUUAUCGGCAAUGUAUCUCUCUUGAGUUGUAAGUUUUGUAUCAAGAUACUCCCUUUGCUCUUGUAACAUCUGGGUCAUGCGAUGUUCGAAUUGAGUUUGUAACUUUUUCAUCUCUUUUUGUAACAACUCGACCAAAGGAUCAUUCUCUCUUUUUUUCUCAUCCUCUUCAUUUUUACUAGUUUGGGAUCUAGUAAGCGGCAUGAUAUCUGUGAAAGAUCAAACAAACAGGAACAAGAAAGAAAAAUAAUAAUAACCUCACUCGUUAGCUCUCAAAAGAAUAACUCUCUGAAUGAUUCAAAACUUGUAAAUAUGUUUGGAGAGGGUUACUAAUCAAGAUCAACGGAGGUGCAAACUUCAAAGAAACAAUGAAGACCCUAAUUGCUCUAAGAGGCCAAUAAACUUGACGAGGCAAUUUGUAAUGGAGGCUACACGGAUGAAGGAAUUGUGCGUGCCUUUAAUAUCUGCUAACACAAGAAGAAACAAAGUGUUAGAAAGCGUAAGAGAAAUAAAAAAAAGCGUAGACCUGCAACGAUCCCUAACUCUAGAGUCAAAGAAAAGCUUUAAUAAGAAGAAAACUUAAGAAAAACUCUACCCAAAUUAAAACAAAAAAACAAAAAAUCGAAAACGUUUGGUGUAUUAAGAUUUUCAAAAAUUGAAGCUUUAAUUAUACUUGAGUCAAGAAAAAAAAGAAGGAAAAUAAAUUCAAUUUUGGGAAAAAUAAAAAUAAUAACAAUAAUAGGAAAAGAAGAAACCUACGUAUGAAAGGUAGGCAACUUUUUUUUUACGAUUUUUUUUGCUCUUUUUACUUUUUUUCUUUUUUUUUGCUGUUUUUUUUUAAAGAAUAAGAGGAGAAUAAACACAAAAUUCAAAAAAAAAAAGAAUCGACGAAACUGAUGAAAAGUGUUUUUAGUAUUUUGACUCGUUUCGGAUUUGAUUUUAGCUUCAAAAAUAACACCGACUGGCCUGAAACUGAUACCAACUGAUGUGGAAUCCCGGAUCUAGACACAAGAGAAACACAAAUUAGAAAUAAAAAACAAGAAUAAAUAAAAUUAGUUAAAUAAUAAUAAAAAAUGAUAGAUUUGCCCUAUAGAACCCUUAGUUAACUUGUAACAAAAAACGCCAAUGAUUGAGCGGCUCCCUACGAAACCCCUAGACGAAGAACCUCUAGAAACACUGAUGAACGGGAAAGAAAUUUGAAUAUUUGCAACUCCGAAAUACCCUCGAAAGUAACAAACUCCAAACUAAAUAGUAAGAGAAGAAUCACUCUACUCUCAAAAAUUUGCCUCACACAAAUUUGAAUGAAAACAAAUACUCUUCUUUUUAUUCCUUCUCCAAUGUGUAGAAAACAAGCCUAUUUAUAGGUAAAUUACAAGAGUAAUUGAAUCCUAAUAAAACUCUUUUAAGAGUAAUUGAAUCCUAAUAAAAACUCUUUAAAGAGUAAUUGAAUCCUAAUAAAACUCUUUAAAAUUAUCUAAGAAAAUAAAUAAAUAAUAACCUAACCAAUAAAAUUACUUAACUCAUAAAUGAUGUGUCCCACCAAUGAGAAUAAGCAAAUAAUAAUAAUAAUAAUAAGAUACAUAAAAGAUUAAUCCACCAAUUUAUGGGCUUUCACAAUUCCAAGAUUGGUCCAGUGAAUUGCAUUCCCUUAUUUGUCAAUGUCACGAACAUGAUGAAUUAAAUUUGUAGCAACAAAGUCUUGGACAAAAGCAUUCAUCUUUGAUUUUAAUUGUCGUGCCUUGCUUCGAGUGAUUGGACCACUAGGAAAGACAACCCUUUGAGUGUCACCUCCUUGGCUCGUAUCAAAACUUUCUUUCGUAUAGAAGCUCGAGCUAUUUUUGAAGUUUUACAUAUUGCAUGGGAGAAAGGUUAUAGACAGUUGGAGAUUGAAUGCGACAAUGCACUACUUGUAGAGUCCGUUUUUACUGGUAGUGCUGCCAGUAGUAACCUAGCUGAAUUAUGUUUAAUCAAUGUUUACCUUAAGGGGAAUUGGAAGACAAGAAUCUGUCACAUUCCUAGAUCUCAGAAUAUGGCUGCUAAUUGAAUGGCGAAAUGUAUUUAUGAUAAUUAGUUUAGGUUGAAGCUUUUUCAAGGUCCCUUAAUUUUGGUUCAAGAGAUUUUACAGUCAAAUGGUGAUUUCCUAAGUAGAGUUGUGUGAUUUCAUUGUUUUCGCUUAAUGUUGUUUGUUUCUACUAAAAGAAAGUAGAACAAAAUUAUUGUAAAGAAGUGUUCAAAUCUAACUAUAUUUAUAUUUUAAAUGGUUUUUAUUAAAAUUAUAAAAUGACUAAAACACCCUUAAAUAAUAUAAUUUAUUUUAAUUUCGAAGAAAAUUUUCAUGAUUUUUUUAAUCGAUUUGGUACCCAAUUGACUCAUAACACCAGCUCAAUUAAGGACUUAAAUAAUAGUAUAAAUUUAUUAAUAAUUUAUUAUAUUAUUCAUCAUAUAUUACUAUUUUAUAAUUAUUUAUAUUUUAUUUACUAUAUAUUAUGAAUAUUAUAAAGAUGAGAUUAUUUAUUAAAAGUUUUGUAACAACCAAAAAUCUUGGUGGCAUAAAUGAUAUUAUUAUGAGAAUAUAAAUAGUACAAUUUUCAAAAAGAGGGUAAGAAUUAUUAAUUGAAUAAUGUAAGUAGAAUUGGACACCAAAAUGAAAAAGUAUAAAUAGAAAUUUUUGAGAAAGGAUUCAAUUGAAAUUUUGCAAAAGUGUGAGGAAUAAAAUGUGAAUAGCUUAUAAAAGAAAAAUGGUAGAAAAGUGAUGAAGUAUUUUAUGUAAAAAUGAAAUUGAAAAUAUAUUGAUAUUUAGAAUUUAAAAAAUUAGGGAGUUAAUUAAAUUGUAAUUAAAAAAUUAGGAGGGACUUAAGUGAAAAGAUGAGUUAACUGUAAUUAAACCAUGAAGAAAUAAUACCUCCAAAAGUAAUUAUUACAUUAGGAUACAGAUAAGUGAUGGAAAAGGGUUGAAAUGACUAGAAAAGUAAUUAAUGAUUUAAUAACUAAAUAAAAUAAAUGAUGAAAUGCCGAGAAAUGACAAAUAUAUCGGGCAAAACACUAAAAAAAGCCCUUUUUUUUUAAAUUUACCAAAAUAGGCUGGUUUUUUAAUUAUUUACCGGAAUGGGCCGUUUUCCCCGAAAUCGCGUCCACGUCAGCGCGAUGUCGGGGAACGUGACAGGUCAUCGCGUCCACGUCAGCAGGUCACGCUGACGUGGACGGGAUGACCUGUCACGUAGCGCGUUUUCCGGGGCGCGAUUUUGACGUUGAUUUCACGUUGGGUUUUCUGGGUUUUAAGGUUUAGGGUGCAAGCUUUUUUAGGGUUUAGGGGUACCGAAAAAAAUUAUUUCGUUUAGGGUGCAGGCUUUUUUAGGGUUUAGGGGUCCCGAAAAAAAUUAUUUCGAGUUGACGUUUCUGGUCAAAUAGUAUAAAAUCGCUUCUACCAGGAUGCUAUUAGAGAAGAAAUUGUGAAAUCGUGCCCUCGUGGACGCCAUUUCAGCACAGUUGGUCAUGUAAGAAAUAAUUUUUUUUUGACGUUUUCUGAGCAAAUAGUAUAAAAUCGCUGAUACCAGGAUGCUAUAUGAGAAGAAAUUGUGAAAUCGCGCCCUCGUGGACGCGAUUUCGCUACAGUUGGUCAUGUAGGAAAUAAUUAUUUUUUGACGUUUCUGAGCAAAUAGUGUCAAAUCGCGCCCUCGUGGACACGAUUUUGCUACAGUAGCAAGUUUGGGCUGAGGCUAUAAAUUAGGUAGAAAAUGUUCUUAAAAUGCAUAAGUCAUAGCAGAAACAUUUUAGAGAGGCUAAGAAAGUUAGAGUUUCAAAAUGAGUGAACGUAUUAGUGCUGUUAUUUACUACGAUGGUGAGGUUUGCCACACCGAGAAUGGUGUUGUUUUUUGUCGGAGAAUACGGUGCNNNNNNNNNNNNNNNNNNNNNNNNNNNNNNNNNNNNNNNNNNNNNNNNNNNNNNNNNNNNNNNNNNNNNNNNNNNNNNNNNNNNNNNNNNNNNNNNNNNNNNNNNNNNNNNNNNNNNNNNNNNNNNNNNNNNNNNNNNNNNNNNNNNNNNNNNNNNNNNNNNNNNNNNNNNNNNNNNNNNNNNNNNNNNNNNNNNNNNNNNNNNNNNNNNNNNNNNNNNNNNNNNNNNNNNNNNNNNNNNNNNNNNNNNNNNNNNNNNNNNNNNNNNNNNNNNNNNNNNNNNNNNNNNNNNNNNNNNNNNNNNNNNNNNNNNNNNNNNNNNNNNNNNNNNNNNNNNNNNNNNNNNNNNNNNNNNNNNNNNNNNNNNNNNNNNNNNNNNNNNNNNNNNNNNNNNNNNNNNNNNNNNNNNNNNNNNNNNNNNNNNNNNNNNNNNNNNNNNNNNNNNNNNNNNNNNNNNNNNNNNNNNNNNNNNNNNNNNNNNNNNNNNNNNNNNNNNNNNNNNNNNNNNNNNNNNNNNNNNNNNNNNNNNNNNNNNNNNNNNNNNNNNNNNNNNNNNNNNNNNNNNNNNNNNNNNNNNNNNNNNNNNNNNNNNNNNNNNNNNNNNNNNNNNNNNNNNNNNNNNNNNNNNNNNNNNNNNNNNNNNNNNNNNNNNNNNNNNNNNNNNNNNNNNNNNNNNNNNNNNNNNNNNNNNNNNNNNNNNNNNNNNNNNNNNNNNNNNNNNNNNNNNNNNNNNNNNNNNNNNNNNNNNNNNNNNNNNNNNNNNNNNNNNNNNNNNNNNNNNNNNNNNNNNNNNNNNNNNNNNNNNNNNNNNNNNNNNNNNNNNNNNNNNNNNNNNNNNNNNNNNNNNNNNNNNNNNNNNNNNNNNNNNNNNNNNNNNNNNNNNNNNNNNNNNNNNNNNNNNNNNNNNNNNNNNNNNNNNNNNNNNNNNNNNNNNNNNNNNNNNNNNNNNNNNNNNNNNNNNNNNNNNNNNNNNNNNNNNNNNNNNNNNNNNNNNNNNNNNNNNNNNNNNNNNNNNNNNNNNNNNNNNNNNNNNNNNNNNNNNNNNNNNNNNNNNNNNNNNNNNNNNNNNNNNNNNNNNNNNNNNNNNNNNNNNNNNNNNNNNNNNNNNNNNNNNNNNNNNNNNNNNNNNNNNNNNNNNNNNNNNNNNNNNNNNNNNNNNNNNNNNNNNNNNNNNNNNNNNNNNNNNNNNNNNNNNNNNNNNNNNNNNNNNNNNNNNNNNNNNNNNNNNNNNNNNNNNNNNNNNNNNNNNNNNNNNNNNNNNNNNNNNNNNNNNNNNNNNNNNNNNNNNNNNNNNNNNNNNNNNNNNNNNNNNNNNNNNNNNNNNNNNNNNNNNNNNNNNNNNNNNNNNNNNNNNNNNNNNNNNNNNNNNNNNNNNNNNNNNNNNNNNNNNNNNNNNNNNNNNNNNNNNNNNNNNNNNNNNNNNNNNNNNNNNNNNNNNNNNNNNNNNNNNNNNNNNNNNNNNNNNNNNNNNNNNNNNNNNNNNNNNNNNNNNNNNNNNNNNNNNNNNNNNNNNNNNNNNNNNNNNNNNNNNNNNNNNNNNNNNNNNNNNNNNNNNNNNNNNNNNNNNNNNNNNNNNNNNNNNNNNNNNNNNNNNNNNNNNNNNNNNNNNNNNNNNNNNNNNNNNNNNNNNNNNNNNNNNNNNNNNNNNNNNNNNNNNNNNNNNNNNNNNNNNNNNNNNNNNNNNNNNNNNNNNNNNNNNNNNNNNNNNNNNNNNNNNNNNNNNNNNNNNNNNNNNNNNNNNNNNNNNNNNNNNNNNNNNNNNNNNNNNNNNNNNNNNNNNNNNNNNNNNNNNNNNNNNNNNNNNNNNNNNNNNNNNNNNNNNNNNNNNNNNNNNNNNNNNNNNNNNNNNNNNNNNNNNNNNNNNNNNNNNNNNNNNNNNNNNNNNNNNNNNNNNNNNNNNNNNNNNNNNNNNNNNNNNNNNNNNNNNNNNNNNNNNNNNNNNNNNNNNNNNNNNNNNNNNNNNNNNNNNNNNNNNNNNNNNNNNNNNNNNNNNNNNNNNNNNNNNNNNNNNNNNNNNNNNNNNNNNNNNNNNNNNNNNNNNNNNNNNNNNNNNNNNNNNNNNNNNNNNNNNNNNNNNNNNNNNNNNNNNNNNNNNNNNNNNNNNNNNNNNNNNNNNNNNNNNNNNNNNNNNNNNNNNNNNNNNNNNNNNNNNNNNNNNNNNNNNNNNNNNNNNNNNNNNNNNNNNNNNNNNNNNNNNNNNNNNNNNNNNNNNNNNNNNNNNNNNNNNNNNNNNNNNNNNNNNNNNNNNNNNNNNNNNNNNNNNNNNNNNNNNNNNNNNNNNNNNNNNNNNNNNNNNNNNNNNNNNNNNNNNNNNNNNNNNNNNNNNNNNNNNNNNNNNNNNNNNNNNNNNNNNNUCACUCGAGGACGUAGAAAUGGAAAGCGAAAUCGUGCCCAUGAUUGCAGUAGUGACAGGCAACCUCCGAUUUUUGCUCUCCUCGGUUUCGUCGCCCGCACAUCUCACGAUAUAAUGUUGCCAAGACGGCAGACCCCCAACUAAAUUCACCGGUUGCUCUAAAAUCAACGAGUUUUAGCAGCCACCUUAGAUGUACACGGCUCCGUGACGUGUCGGCCAUCCGAUUGCCUCCAAUUAUUUGAAGAAUGUAUGAUCGGGCAUAUCGAAUUCUUUCAAUUUCGGUUGAAUUUUCAUUCAGAUCGGGGAAGGUGGCACGUAACCAGCCCAUCUCCACCUUACCUCCAUCCAUUUUAUCCGGUACAGCGCCCAAAAGCUCGUAACACACCGCCUCCUAGUUGCUAGAUUGGGCAGACCCGGUGACUGGGUGCCCGUCCACCGGCAAUCCCAAAUGCAGAUGGACAUCUUCUAGAGUGAUAGUGCACUCUCCACAUGGAAGAUGAAAUGUGUGCGUCUCGGGUCUCCACCUCUCGAUGAGCGCACUGAUCAGUUUCGGCUCCAACUUGCAUCCCAGGCCUACCGUCGCCACGUGCCAAAAUCUCGCUUCCCGCAGGUAGUUCUCUACUAAUGGUGAUGGAGGACCAUGCAUAUUCCGAAUAAUGCAUUCCAAUACCCGAUCUUCAGACUAUUAUAACAAAAAAUAAAUUAAUAUUUAUCUAAAAAUACAUAAAUAAAAUUAUCUUAAAUAAAAUUUAAAAUUUAAAUUUAAUACUUACCAUUUUCAUUUGCUCCACCGAUAUGUGAUUCCUAUCAAGACGAAUCAAUGAUUCGGCCAUUGCAGAAAAUAUUAAAAAUUUUAAAAUUAUUUUAAAAAAAUAAAAAUAUUUAAAAUUUUCUUUAAAAAAAAUGAAAUUGAAUGGAAAAAGAAAUUUAAUAUGGAGUUUAGAGAUUUUUUGAAGGAAAUUGUGAGGAUUUUGGAAGGAAUUCGAGAGUUUAAGAGAAUUUUGGAAGGAAAUUGAGAGAAUUUUGGAAGGACUUUGAGAGAAUUUUUGAAUGAAAUUGAGAUAGGAUUUGUUUGUGAAAAAAUAAGAGGUAGGGGGGGUUUUUAUAGUUUAAAAAUUUCUGACUGUUGGGGGGGCAACGGUCAAAUUUUUGACCGUUGGGGUACUGUUCAUGCGCGGGUGUCAUCGCGUCCACGUCAGCGCGACCUGCUGACGUGGAAGGAAAUCGCUUCCUCAGGGACGCGAUUUCCUUCCAUGUCGGCAGGUCGCGCUGACGUGGACGCGAUGACCUAUCACGUUCCCCGACAUCGCACUGACGUGGACGCGAUUUCGGGGAAAACGGCCCAUUCCGGUAAAUAAUUAAAAAACCGGCCUAUUUCGGUAAAUUAAAAAAAAAAAGGGCUUUUUUUAGUGUUUUGCCCAAAUAUAUCAUGAUCUUUCAUCCGGAGGUGGAUUUAGGGGUUAGCCCUCUAAAAUGGAAAUUCUGUUAUUUUAAAUUUUUUAAAAUUUAAAAAUUUUAAAUUAAUAAAGAUAAAAUUAUACUUUGACUCUCUUAAAAGUAUUAAAAUUUGAUUUAAUCUUUUAAAAAUUAUAAAUAUAUAAAUAAUUUAAUUUCGAACCUAAACUUAUUUCCUGACUUGCCCCUGCUUCCAUCAUUGGUUUCGGAUAAAGAUACUCCAUGUUUUUUUCAACUAUAUUUUUUAUACUAACAAUGGACUCGAAAAUAGAAUGAGAACACCGUAUGAUGGGAAUUUUAGUGAAAAAGUUGUUACGACCUGAGAAUUUUAGAAGAAAAUCUUUAUGCCCAAGUCUUGUGGAAAAUAUAUAUAUAUAUAUAUAUAUAUCUUUUUUGAGGAUUUCGAAUUUCAUAUUAGAGGAAAUAAAUGUUAAUCUUGAUCAAUGGGUUUAUAAUUGUCCAUUUGUAGAUCAAGUUACUGCUAUAUAGGUUGAAGGAAAUAACUCGAAUGUUUUAUUUGAAAGAGACAUAACAAUUCAUGAUCAUUCUAGAAGGUAAGAUAGGGUUAAAUGGUAUAAUUUUGUUGUUACAAUGUUGUGCAAUAUCCUAUACUCUUCCCAAAUGGAUAAGUUGGGUGGCAUCAAACUGUUAAGAAAGUUAGACUUAAUGGUAAUGAAGAAAUUUUUGAAUGUGAAAAUAAUUUUAUAAUUUUUUAAAUUAUUUUAAUUUUAUUAGUUUUAUUUAAUAAUUGUUUUUACAAUUUCUCUAUUAUACAUUUGUAAGUAAUUGAAUUUGUGAGUAGAAACUAAAUGGUGGAAUACAAAUAGAAAAAAAAAAGCCCUAAUGAAAUACAACAUUUUUGAAUUCACCAUAACUUAACUCACAAAUACAUUUUCAUAUUUACGAGUUUUUAAACAUAAAAAACAAUGAUUUUAAGACUUCUUCAAAGAAAAAAAAAGGGUUAAAAAGAAGCAAAAGGGUUUUGGAAGGCAAACAAUAAAGUGUAAAGAAGCUUUAUAUGUUUAAGGUUAUUUAAAUAUUCACCUGGAAAUAUUUCAUUAAUGGAAGCAUCACUCGCAACAAUAUUUUGAAGAUUUAAGAGCUUCAAAACUUCAAGCUUAAAAUACACCCUUCUGGAAGUUGUCCAUGCCAUAUCUCUUUCAUGUUGCCAUUGCUUUCCAAUCUCAGUUCUUGUAAACAAGGGAAUGUGACCUGGUCAGUUGACAAAUGUGUUAAACAAAAGCAAGGAUUAAUUUCGAUGAAGGAAAUGGAAUUGUCGCAAUGAGUUUAUUACAUAUCCAGACACUCUUGAACUCUCAAUGUCGCAUAAUACUAAUACAAAUCUCAUGCUCGGUCUUCCGUUUUAGAUGGUAAACAUGCAUACUAUUUGAAAUCAGAUUAGGAUAGCAAGGAUGCAAUUAGAUAAAGGGUAUAGAAUUGUGCCAACAGUUCUGUCAACAUUGCUUAAUACUAAUACUAUUUUCAUCCUUGGCCCUUCGUUUUAGUUAGUAAACAUGCAUGCUAUUAGAAUUCAGAUCAGGAUAGCUAUCGAGAGAAUGCUUAUGGAUUAGAUGUGGAUGGAUUUAUGCAGAAAGAAAAACAUGCACAUCUAGUUUUACUAAUUACUAUGUUAGAAUAAGAAAUAGAAAAUGAAUGCAUCUUGUGGACAUGUUUCAUAUACCAUAUUGAUCCAAAAUAAGGGUUGCUGUCCUCCUGUUUCAUGGGAGCUUAAUAUUCUGUAGCAAAUAUCUCCACUUUGUCACAUCCAUAAAGAUCCAAAUUUUUCAAUAAUGGCCAUUCGGUGGUAUGCAGCCCAGAGUAGAAACUCUUCAGUUUUGGUAGCAUAGAAAGGUUCAGCUAUGUCAUUUGAGGAAAUAAAAACUGGUUCUUAUUUCUGCCUCGGUGAAUUUGUGUUCAAAUAAUUCUUCUAAUGAGGCACACUCCAUUAUUUGCAGAUUUUUUAGUCUCUGAAGUCUUUCCAGCAUAUUAAGUGGGAAAAUGUUUGAUAGUUUCACACAACUAUGCACUUCAAGGUGUUUUAAUUUGGAGGAGGAGUUCAUCUCAAGUUGGUCAUCCCAUAUCCUUUCCAUAUUCCCCAUGUCUACAAUUGUCAAAUCCUUUAACAAAGGUAAUGACACCUACAAAAAUCAUUUGAUUGUGUUAAUAACAGGACAUGGUUAAGUAUGUGAGAAAAGAGACAGAACAAUGGAGAGAGGGCCUUUCGACUUUAUUUGAUGAAUUCUGUCUUAAAAUAUUUUAAGCCCCAGAAAAUAUCACUGAACAAUGGGUGCAAAGAGAUACAUGGAUGCAAUUGCCAAGCAUUUUUCAUUUCGAAAAUUGCACUUACAGAAAAAUCGUUUUAAAGAAAGUGAAAAAUUCACAAUGCAGAUCAGCCUGACCUUAUUAAUGAAAAAGGGUUUAGCAGAGACAUUGGACGCAUCCUUUACAAGAAUAUUCGAGUAUUCUCCACCAAUGAUCUCAUUGUGCAGCUUGUUUGAAACAGUGGAUGCAAAUGCAACCAUCUUUGGCCAGCCAACUAACGGAAUUUCCUUCAAGUUUGGACAUUCCAAUAAAAUAUAUACAUCACACACACACACACACACACACACACACACACAUAUAUAUAAUAUAGUAAGGGUUGUUAUUAUUAUUUACUAUUACUUUAGCCUAAAUUAAAAAUGAUCUAAUUUGAUUAAGGGUUAUUGGGCUUUAAUUAUUAAAUAAAGUAUAAGUCAAAUAUGUAUAGAUACUCUAGUAAUUGAGUUCUAAUUAAUUUCUAAUUAAUAAUGGGUAAUUAGGAAUUAUGACUAAUAUGCCAAAGCUAUAUAUAUUAGGGUUAUGACCCCUAAAUUACAGACAAUAUAUAUUUUCUAAUAUCCCAUCCUUAGGAAAGAGAGAGCAAAUAUUCUCUGAAUUUUUUGUGUGCUAAUUUGGAAGAUUAAAUUUUCAAAAUUCAUAGAUUUGAAGGAAUUCAUGGAUUCAGGUAUGCUUCCCCAUCUAAUUUUAUUAUUAAUUUGUUCUUAAUGAUUUGACUUGAUAGAUCCUGGCUUAUAGUUUAUUAAGUUUUUUUUAGAUUUAUUUUAAAAAUCGAACAAGUGGUAUCAGAGUCUCGUCAUGUUGAAUCAUUGAGAAUGAAUUGAUUUUUUGUUAUUUUUGGAUUGAUUCGUUUUUUUUAAUUUUAUGGAUUUGAUAUUUUAAUUAUAUACUAUGUUGAAACUUUGAGUUUCUUGAUAAAAAUUUUGGGUUUUAAUUCUUUAAGUAAAGUUUUAGGGUUUUAUAAAUAUAAUCUAGUUUAAUAUUUGCAUAUGCUAUUCGAAAUAUGAAUGUUUAUUUAUUUAUAUAUAUAUAUAAUCAAUUGAUAAAAAUUGAUUUGUGAGAUUUCUUUAUCUUCUUUUUGCACAAUUAUUUUAUAAAUUUUGGUUAAAGUCAUUAUUAGAUUAAAGUUACAUACUUAUAACUUUUUGCAAUUGAAGAAUUCCAAUUGGGAUGUAUAAUUGGUUUUGAAAGUUAAUUUAUUUGAUAAUCGAAUAAAUGAAUGUUGUUAAGAUUUUUUUUUGCACUAUUUAUUUUAAAUUUGUGGUUGAAUGUAUAUGGAAUUAUCAUCUUUUGUGUUUAUUCAUGAUGAAUUAUAUUCACCAUUGAAUUCAAUUCAUAUAUACGAACUAUUACUUUUGGUUUCUGCUAUAAUUAUUUUAUAUAAGUUUUAGUCCUUAUAGAACUAGACUAAAAUUAAAAUAUUUGAGAUUUUUUUUAAUAUGGUGGCUAUGAAUUUUCAUAAGUAGUUGCGCAUAUGAAGGCUUUUAUACAAUUUGAGAUUCUUUUUAUAUUUGGUAGUUAUGGAUUUUUUUUAAGUAUUUGUGCAUAUAAAAAAGUUUUAUGAUAAUGUCUUUAGUCAUGAAUAUAAAUUUGAGUUUACAUGAAAUAUGUAAGACAAGCAGUAUUAUUUUUCUAUUAUUAUAAUUGUGUGUAUAUAUAUUAUAUGCAUAUCAAUGAUUUUGAGGAUUAAUGCAUGAUUAUAGUUUAUGUGAAUAGGUGUUUAUAACCAUUAUUCAAUAAGAUAAUUUUUAUAGUUUAAUUGGUGAUAAUUUUUAUAGUUUAAUUGGUGAAAUUAAGUUUUGAUGGAUAUUGUUAAAGUUGUUAAAUUUUUUUAUUAUGGUUAUAUAUUUAAUUUUAUAGGUGCUUUGGUGCAAAUUCAUGUCAACUAUACACAUGCUUAAAUAAUUUGGUUUUAAGUUUAGUUCUAUAAUAUUAUUAGGUUUUGGGUUCCAAAUAUUUGGUUAAAUUAUAAUGUUAUGGUUUAUUGCAUGAAUUAUGAGAUAUGCCAACUAUUAUGAUUUUGUUUUUGAAAUUUAUUGGCUUGAAAAUAUUUUCAAGUAUUCAUGCGAAUCUAUAUUUAAUCAUAAAUACAACUUUAGAAUUACAUGGUAUAUUUCUAUUUGAUUAUGAAUACAUAUAUAUAUAUAUAUAUAUGCGUGAAUUGUUUUGGUGUUUUUGUCUAUGCCAAAAUUAUGAAUACAUGUGCUUGUUAAUUAUUUGGCUUUAAACCACUACAUUAUUUCUGUUUGGUUUUGAUAUAUAUGGUUUUGGAACAAAAAAAACACAAUCAAAUAUUAAGGUUUUUAGGUUUUUAUUACAUUAUUAAGACGACCUUAUUUUGGGUUAUUUCAGAGUCUAUAAAGCAAUAAAUAAAAUAUUUUUGACCUUUAACUAUUGGGUAAAUUUUAAAUUUGAAUAUUAGUAUGUUUAUAUAAUUUUUUAAAAUAACUUAAUUAAAGCAAUAAGUCACCAAAAUGAUUUUUUUUAUAAAUUAUUUUUUUAAACUAUAAAAGGUUGUGUGCAUGUAACUUAUGUUAAUAUUGAUCGGCCUAACUGAAGGUUAAUAAUAUUAUAUGUGCCACUAUGGUAAUAAAGAUGUGACAAUUAUUCGGUUUUACAUGUGAGCAAUAAAUUGGCCCAAAGGAAGAUUUAUGGUUCGGCAUGUUCUUAUUAUCAAUGUUUGAUUAUUACACCAGUAUAUCACUUACAAAUUAAUAUUUUUUUCCAAAGAUGAAAUAUUAAUAGAGUGUACGAUAUCUUGAUAUGAGGUUUAAAUUUAAAGUAUUAUGUAAGCUUAUUUUAAUUUAUUCAACUAUUAUUAUAUUUGCCAGUAUGUUGUUUUGGGAUAAAUAUAUAUUCAUAUAUAUACUAUUAUCUUUUAAUUUGAUUGAAAGAUGAAAUUAAGAGAAAUAUUUUGAAACAAAUAAAUUCAGAUUUUGACUUUAGGUUUUAAUUAAGGAUGUUUAAUAUUUUAAGUAGAUUAGUUGAAACAAAAUGCUGCCAAAGUGACCUCUUUUGUGUAGAUUAGUUUAUUUAAAAUAUCAAGAUGAUUAUAUGUUUUUGUGAUUCAUGCGUUUAUUAAUUGAACCAAAGGCAAGUUAACAUUUGGUGAAAUUUCAACAACAUCUGUGGUGAUAAAUGUGUGACAAUUAUAAGGUAAUUUAUGUGAACAAUAAGUUAGUCCAAAGAUUAAUUCAUUGUUUGACAUAAUUUAUUGUCAAUGUUUAAUUGUUGCAACAAGAGUACCGUUUACUGUUAAUAUUAUUGUCCAAAGACUUUAUAUUAAUGUUGUGUUUGGUAUCUUGAGAUGGGGUUAGUCAUUAUUUUGAAUUUAUUGUUUACUUAUGAAUAUUGAUGUGACCUUAUUUUUAUUUAUUUAUUAUUCUAUAUUCAACUAAUUAAUCUUCUACUGCCACAAUAUCUGCUAAUAUAAAUUCUAUACUCAUACUUAAUGUGACUAAUUUCAAUGAAUGGAAAAGACAUUUACCUAUAGUGCUUGACUAUAUGAACAUAGAACAUUGCACUAACGGAAGAACAACCCCCACCUCUCACUACGGGAAACACCCCUUAUGUUAAAAGGAAUUUUGAGAGGUGGGAUCGUUCAAAUUGCAUGAGUUUAAUUAUCAUGAAGCACAACAUUUCAGAAGCCUUUAGGGGCAUAGAAUCUGAAAAGAUUACUCACGCAAAAGUUUCCUUGACAAAAUUGAAAAACGUUUUGCUAAAAACGAUAAGGUUGAAAUGACAUCACUUCUAACUUUUUUGAUGUCUACAAAGCAUAAGGGUCAAGGAAAUUCUGAGCGAUUUAAAGGCUAUGAGUUUUAUGAUCCCACAAUUAGGAAUAUUUUUUAGAUGAAAAUUGUAACAUUAUUUUAGGAUGUUGAGUUUGGAGGGAGAAAUAAGGUUAGAGAUAUUGCUUUUAAGGAGGAAUUGAAUUCUAACUCAGUUUCUACUAUCACUUUUGAUGAUGUUUAGGUUCUCACACCUAUCAUUGAUUAAGAAGUGAAUCCAGAACCUCAGUAAGACAAUGUUGAACAAAUCUCUAUUCAAGAUGAGGUAAUUGUUCUAGAAUAACAAACUCAACAACCUCAAUAAUGAAUGUCUUUAAAAAGGUCCACUAGAGAAAGUGUUAUACUGGCUUUAGUGGAACAUUUUGACCUUAAGCUACAUUAGAUGAAUAUUAAGUUAAUGGUUUCUCAAUGGUAACAUUGAUCAUACAUUUAUAUGGUGCAAUUACAAAACUUUGUGUUUGAUGAUGAAAAGGUAAUGAUUUGAAAAUUAAAUAACUUCAUCUAUGGGAUUAAGUAGACUUCUUGUCAAUAAUAUUACAAAUUUUACCAAAUGAUUAUCUCAUUCAGUUUAGAGAUGAAUUUUGUUGAUAAUUGUAUAUACCAUAAGUUUAGUAGGAGUAAGGUUCUAUAUUUGGUUUUAUAUGUUAAUGACAUACUGCUUGUCAAUAAUAAGUAUAGGCUCAAUCAAUGCCCUAAGAAUGAUUUUGAGAUUACAAAAAUUCAUAAGAUUUUUUACAUUUUAGCAGUGGAAAGUCUAAUGUACGUUCAGGUUUGUAUACAUUGGAAUAUUGUUUACACUGUUGGGAUGUUAGCCAGAUUUUUAAGCAAACCUGGUUUGGACAAUUAGAUAGCAACAAAGAGGGUUAUGAGGUAUUUUCAGAGAACAAAAGAUUACAUGUUCACAUAUCAAAUGUCUAAUCAGUUAGAGAUCAUCAAGUAUACAGACACCAAUUUUGAUGGAAUAUGGAUAUAAUAUCUUGUCACUAAGGUGCAAAUUGUGAAAACAAAUUGCAAUAUUUUAUUCCAAUAGCAACAGGGGUACAUCAAAGUCAAAACAAAUAGACUUUAAGUUCCUAGUUAUUAAAGUAAAGUUCAGAGUGGUUAGGUGCCUAUAAAGCAUAUUAGAACAAUCUCCAUGAUAGUGGAUCCGCUUACUAAUGGGCUACACCUAAGGUUUUAUAAGAGCACACUGCUUAUAUGGGCGUAAUUUCAUUUAAGGAUAUUUGGUUUUAGUGGGAGUUUGUACUUUUAAAUACUUUUAUGUUAUAGACACAUUUUCAGUUAUUUCAAUUUAUGUAUAUUAAGUUUAUUUUCUGUAGAAAAAAAGUUUAUUUGCUUUAUUCACACUCUGAUUUUGGUAAGGUUUGAUCUCACUAAGGUUUAAGAAUGACCAGUUGAAAAUAGACAUGUUUAGAUCAUAUUGCAUAUAAUUUUUCAUGCUACACAUCCAUACUUGAUCAAUGUCAUUUGGUUGUGUUAAUAUACAUGAUCAAGAUGGAUUUGGUUACAAUAUAUGUAACGAAAGUCGCAUUGGUUUGAUGUUAACAUAAUUAAUGGACGAGAUUGUUUAGAAUACAUUUUGGAUAUGAUAGUAAAACUUUUUAGCUCAUAAGGUCAUAUAAUAACAUGUAAUUAUAAAAUAAUUAGUAUAUAUAUGUGGUCCAAGUGGGAGAUUGUUGGAAAAUAUGGACAUCACAUAUAUAUAAUAAGGGUAAUUAUAUGUUAUUAUUUACUAUCAUAAUAGGUUAACCCAAAUUAAAAGAGAUCUAAUUUGGUUAAGGGUUAUCGGGAUUUAAUUAUUAAAUAAAGUAUGAGUCAAACAUGUGUAGAUACUCUAGUAAUUGAGUUCUAAUUAAUUUCGAAUUAAUGAUGGACUAAUUAGGAAUUAGGACUAAUAUGCCAAAGUUAUAUAUAUUAGGGUUGUGGUCUCCAAAUUACAAACAAGAUAUCUUUUUUAAUAUCCCAUCCUUAGGAAAGAGAGAGAAAAUAUUCUUUAAUUCUUGUGUGCUAAUUUGGAAGAUCAAAUCCCUAAAAUCCAUAGAUUUCAAGAAAAUUCAUGGAUUCAGGUACGCUUCCGUAUCUAGUUUUAUUGUUGAUUUAUUCGUAAUGAUUUGAUAUGAUACAUCCUAGCUUACAAUUUAUUAAGUUUUAUUUUAGAUUUAUUUUACAAAUCUGACAUUCAAUGCAAAACUUCCUGAGGAAAACCAUGCCAAGUCCAAACAAGACUUGAUAGUUAUUGUUUUAAGCUGAGGGAAUAUAAUCUUCAUUGUAGUUGAUUUGUCAUCUCUAAUGAUUUCUUCAAUUACUUUGCAAUUUUUUACUUUUAUCUGUUGCAGCUGCACAAGAUCUGCAGCCAUGGAAGCUGUUAACAUGUAUCUCAAGUUGUUAUAGUCAUACACUUUGUUGGUGUAAAGAACAAAUGAAAGAAAAAAAUAGCUUGUAGCUUCUGCAACAAGGCUCGAUACUUGCGGAAGAAACAACCGAAUUUGAAAAACAAAAGAAAGAACAAAAACAAGAUAAAAUGGAGAGUAUAUGCAAGAAAACAAACUGAUUUCAUUCAACUUUGAACAAUGGCAUAAUGCCAAUACAUAAACCAAGCAUUAAGCUUGUCAAAAAAAUAGUAAGUGAUCACCUAAUCAACACCUACUACCACUAAUACAUUGAAACUUGCAAAACAAAGCUUGUACGCAUAGACAAAUCUGAGUUAAUAGCUCAUUCACUAUCAAAUUACAUCAAUCCUUAACCUAACAUAGUUCAAAAUGAACUAGAUUACAUUACAUCAUCCUAAGCUUACAAAAUGAAUAGCAGCAUUAGCUUCAGCAGCUCCUACAUGGCCCGAUCUUUAUGGUCUGCUUCUUGAUUGCUUUGUUACAUGCUGACCAAACUUCAACACCCCUCCUUGGUUAGCAUGUUACAAACUCCUAGUCUUUUACUCAAAUGCUUGAAUCUUGUUACACAAAGAGGCUUGGUUAAAAUGUCAGCAAGUUGAUCCUCUGAAUUGCAAUAGACUAGUUUCACUUCCUGAGCCUGCUCCAUUUCUGUAACAACAUGGAGUUUAAUAUUGAAAUGUUUUGUUCUUCUAUGGACCACUGGAUUUUUUGCGAAUGCAAUAGCAAAUUGAUUGUCACAAAAGAUCUUUGUUGCUUCCCUGUGAUGCACAUUCAAGUCAACCAUAAUUUUUCUUAGCCAAAUGGCUUGGUUGACAACACUUGCACUUACAACAUAUUCGGCUUCAACAGUGGAUUGAGCAACUAGUGUUUGCUUCUUCGAGCUCCAACUGAACAUGGCUGAACCAAGAUUGAAAGCAUACCCAGAGGUGUUUUUCAUGUCAUCCAUCAAACCAUCCCAGUCACUGUCAAUUUAGCCAACCAACUUCAGGCUUUUAGCUUUGUUGUACAUCAAGCCAUGGCUCAACGUACCCUUGACAUACCUGAGCACUCUUUUUCCAGCUUGAAGGUGCUUCUCAUUGCUACAAUGCAAGAACCUUGAGAGCAAACUUAUAGCAAACAUAAUGUCAAGUCUAGUGGCUGUUAAAUACAGCAAACAACCAACUAAACUUCUGUAGGUUGUUUCACAAACCCUUUCAAAAUUACCAUAGCUCGAUAGCUUUUCUCCAACAGCAACUGGAGUAUUUUUUGCUUUGCUGUUUGGCAUUGAGAACUUGGUCAAAAUCUUGGAAGCAAAAGCUCUCUGAAUUAGGAAUAUCCCAUGGUAUGUUCGUGUCACUUCCAUGCCAAAGAAAUAGCUCAUCCUUAUCAGACAUCUCAAACAUCUGCUACAUUUUGGUUUUGAAAUCAGUCAGCAUUAUUUGUUCUCCUCCUGUCACUAGCAGGUCAUGAACAUACAGGGAUACAAUGAGCUAAGUUUGUGCCCCUUCCUUCUUGACAUACAAGGUUGGCUCGCUGUUGCUUCUUUCAAAUCCCAAACUGACCAGGUAGCCAUCGAUCUUGUUAUACCAGCCUUUUGGAGCCUGUUUCAAGCCAUACAAGGUUUUUUUCAUUUUGUAGACCAUAUGUUCUUUACCAGCUACUUCAAAACCCCGUGGUUGUUUAACAUAAAUUUCUUCCUCAAUAAAUCCAUUAAGGAAGGCUGACUUUACAUCGAUUUGGUGGAUUUUCCACUGCAUUUGUGCUAUUAAGGCAAUCAACAGUCUGAUGGUGUCUAGCCUGACCACUAGUGCAAAGGUCUCCAGGUAAUCCAGACCAUAAUUUUGGCUAAACCCCUUAACAACCAGCCUUGCUUUUAGCUUAUUCAAGUUCUCAUCAGCAUUGUGCUUGGCUCGAUAAACCCAUUUCACCCCAAUGAUCUUCCUUUUGACUGGUCUUUCAACCAGCUUCCAAGUCUGAUUCUUCUCAAUCAUGUUGAUUUCAUCAGCCAUUACUUGCUUCCACACUUGUUGAGCUUCAGCCUCUUCAAAACAGCUUGGUUCAGCUAUGGCUACUUGAGCUCUUUCAUAAAUCUCAACCAAUGGUCUAGUACCCCUGACUGGUUCAUCACCAAUGUCCAUUUUAGGACUAUUUUGAUAUGGCUCAGUUUGGUCUAUUACAAGAUCUUCAGAAACUGCCUGUGGCUCAUUCUUUUCCCAAUUCCAACAUGACUUCUCAUCAAACACCACAUCUCUGCUUACAAACACUUUGCUUGUUGAAGGAUCCAAGAUCACAUAACCCUUUUUGACUGUGCUGUAGCCCACUAAAAUACCAGGUCGAGCUCUUUUAACCAGUUUAUCCCUUUUAACAGCAGGCACAUGUGCACAGCAGAUACAACAAAAGACCUUUAGGUGAGCCAAUGAUGGUUUGAAUCCAAACCAGGCCUCAAAAUGAGUUUUGUGAUCCAAAGCCUUGGUAGGAAGCCUAUUUUGGAUAUACACAGCAGUGUUAACUACCUCAGUCCACAAGGUUAUAGGCAAAUUCUUCUCAAAUAGUAGGCAUCUAGCCAUAUCCAUCAAGCUCCUGUUCUUCAUCUCACUUACACAAUUUUGUUGAGGAGUAUAGGUGUUGGUGAGCUGGUGUUUGAUGCCUGCCUUAUCACAAAAGGCCUGGAACUGAGCUGAGGUGUACUCAGUCCUAUUGUCAGACCUUAUGGUCUUGAGCUUGCAAUCUGUUUCAGUUUCAGCAGUAAUCUUGAACUUUGAAAACACUAAGCCUACCUCUAAUUUCUGUUUCAAAAAAUAAAUCCAGUAAAAUCUUGAAAAAUCAUCAAUAAAUAGAAUGAAGUACCUACUUCCAUUCAGUGACUUGGUCUUCAUAGGGCCACACACAUCAGUGUGCAUGAGCUGCAGCCUUUCAGAGGCUCUCCAUACCUGAUUUGAAGGAAAAGGGAGCCUAGCUUGCUUUUCUAGCUGACAUUCUUCACAAACCUUCUGUUUUUCAAAUGAACCAAUGAAGUUUUCAGCCAAGUCUUCUCUGGAUAGCUGAUCAAUUGAUCUGUAGUUGGCAUGACCAAGUCUUUGAUGCCAAAGCUUGGAUUUAUCAAUUGUGGCUGUAUAGGCAGUGUCUGAGCCAUUUGUCCAAUCAAUAACAAAGUUCUUAUCAGCCAUAGUGGCUGCCAUGAGCUUGGAUCCACUUGGAUCACUAAUUUGGCACUCCUUGCCCUUGAACACUACAAAAUACCUUUUCUCUAGCAGCUGAGCCAUGCUAAGCAGGUUUCUAUCAAUUUCAGGUACCAACAACAUAUUCGAGAUGAGAUUGUUACCUAUAGGAGUGCAUAUCAACACAUCUCAUUUACCUUCUGCCUUUAUAAAAUGACCAUUACCAAUUUUAACUUUGGUUUUGUAGCUUCUAUCUAAUGACUUGAAAAUGGAAGCAUCUGGUGUCAUGUGGUUUGUGCAACCAUUGUCCAAGAGCCAGCCAUUUGUAAGCUUCUCCUGAGCAGCUGAGCAUGACACAACAAAAACUUGCUCCUCACGGUUACUAUCUUCUUUUACUACUCGAGCCUCAGCCUUUGGCUGUUGGGGUUGGUUCUGCCUUAACUUGCCCUUGUUUUUGCAGACCUUUUCAACAUGCCCCAUCUUUUUGCAAUAUUGGCAUUGCACAUCUAGUCUAAACCAAUAAUUUGCUUCUGGAUGACCAGGUCUUUUGCAAUGCCUGCAGGGUUGGUCCCUUCUUUUUGCAGCAUCAAACUUUGGUUUGUCUUUCCAAGUCUUUUUGCCUUUGUAGGCAGUGUUAUUCAAGGUAGGUUUGGUUUUUGCUUGAAAGGCACCUUCUUGGUGCUCCUCCAGUUUGCUAGCUCUUCUCUGCUCUUAUGCAUAGAGAGCAUUGAUCAGCUCUAUCAGUGAGAUGCUGGUCAGGUCCCUUGAAUCUUCAAGGGAUGAAAUUUUUGCCUCGUACCUCUCAGGUAAGGUUGAAAUCACCUUCUCCACUAUUCUUGCUUCAUUGAACUACUCACCAAGGAGCCUUAUGUUGUUUACACAGUCAUAAUCCUGUCUGAGUACUGUUUGAUAGUUUCUUUUUCCUUUAUUUUCAAAUUCUCGAAGUCCCUUAUCAGAUUCAACAACUGUUGCUGCCUUUUUCUCUCUGUCCCUUGAAACUCCUCUUUUAAUUUGACCCAGGCCUGUUUUGGUGUCUCACAAGCCAUGAUCCUUGUAAAGAUGACAUCUGACAUUGAGUUCUAGAUGCAAGACAUGGCCUUGUGCCUCUUAGUCCUUUCAUCAGCAUGCUGCCUGAUCUGUGCCAUUGUUGGAUUGGCUCUAAAUGGCUCUAGUUCAACGUCUGAGUUGACCAUCUCCCACAGAUUGAAUGCCUGCAGAUAGGUUUUUAUUUUGAGUUUCUAAAACUAUGCUUCUAGACUGAAUGAAGAUAAGAUAUAUAUGCAACGUAAUAUUAGUACCUUUCCAUCAAAAAAGUAGUCAAGACCGUGUAUUCACCGAUUCCAGUUGAUAAAUAGAACGACUCUUCUCUUUGGAGCAGAAACUACGAAGCUCUGGUAGAAGCUGUAGUGUUAAGGAUCACAAUUGGCCAAACUCAAUUUUAUUGGUUUCUAUAUCAGCAUUAUGCUCUCUCUCUCCAGUAACAAUCUCUUCAAUGCUUUUGCACUUUGAAACUUUAAUUUCUUGAAGUUAGACAAGCAUUUUUGUCAUGGAGAAGGAAAAAUAUUCUUGAGUCAGUCACAACAUUCGACACUUAUGAUUUUCAAUCUCUUGAAACUUCUUCUUCAAGUUUGCCUUGAUAAAUAUUCUCCAAAUGAACCAAUGAUUUGAGGAUAGAAAAGGCUUUACAUGAUGCCACCUCCAUAGAGUAAAAAAUAAACAGUAAUUCUGAACCAUUUUUUAUGUAGAGAUUCCUGAGCUGUGGAAAACCAGUGCCAUCCAACUCAUACAGCAAGUUCUUGAUGCCUUGCAUUUCAUCUAGAUAUAGAUCUUCAGUUUUCUGCAACAACAGUUUAACUCCAUGAUCCAAGUGAAUUCCCUUAGUAAGCUAGAGUUUCAGUGUCUCUCAUUUUCAUACUUUUUGGACCAGUCCCAGACCUCCCCGAUAAGAAUCUUAUAUCGAUUCAGUUUUUCAGAGAAUAGUUCUACUGGCAUAAGUUGAAUAGAAUGAAUAUGGACAUCCAAAGAAAUUAAACCAGACAAAGACUUCAAUUCAUGAUGUGUCUUCAUGUUGCUAACUAAAUAUACGACUAAUGCAAGUGCACUUAUCUAUAAUAGUAUAGUUAAGGUGAGUUGAGAUAUCGUAUCCACGAGGACUAAAAAUAUUAAUCCUGGAAAUAUUAAGCACAUUAAACAUGAAUUAAUAACUGGAAAUAUUAAAAUAAGAAAUAAAUAUACAUAAAUCAAGUAUUUAUCGAGUAAAAUAGAAAUUACAUAAUAUAAUGUAUCAUAGGUUUCAUCCUCCCUAGGUAUCUAGGGAAUUAGUAAUGAAAACAUAUUAAAGUCAUAAAAACCACAAGAAAUAAAGAAACUCAUAAAAAUUUCAAAAGAAAUUAAAAAGAGGUCUUCGAUCUUGAUGGAAAUUUGAUUCCGAGUUGGCUCCAAUGGUGUUCUUCAAGUUGUUUCUUUGAUCUUCUCUGAUGGCUCCUAUAUCUCUUAUUCUAUUUGGUAAUUAUAGACUUUAGAAUGCUCAAAAAGCCUAAAAAUUGUGUUUUUUCGCGUGUUUGAGAAGCAGGUUGCGAAAUCAACAAGGGUUGGCACAUGGGCGUGUGUCCAACCCGUGUGGCUCCUGAAAUUUUCUCUUUUUCUCUGACUUUCACUCAUUUUGCUCCCAAAUGCUCACCUAAGUAUAAGAACAUGAAUUAGAAGGAUUAGAAGCAUCAAAUUCACCAAUUUGUAUAAAUAAUCAUCCAAAAACGCAUUAAGAAUGAGAUUAAAAUAUGUUAGUUUUAUCAUUUAUCAAUAUCCCCAUACUUAAGCGUUUGCUUGUCCUCAACCAAAAUCCUCAACUCACAUUAAAAUUAAUCUUUCUCAACUUAUAAUUCUCAUCAAUAAUGUUAUGAUUCACAAAUAAUCAUGUAUUGACAAUUCAACUAAAAGGGCACUUAAAGAUUCAAACAAUCCAAGUCGAAAUUUUUAAAGCACGAAAACAUAGGUAUCUCCCCUUAUCUAUGUAAUUACCUUUAAUUCAAAAUCGACAAGAAUUGGCAUCCCCACUAAAGAUCCACACAAAUCAUUAAAAAUGUUUAAGGUUCAAGAAUAAGCACUCAAUAGUCGAAUAAGAAAUGUCAUUACCAUAAGCUUGCUUGAAAAUCAAAUCUCCACCACUAUAAAUUGAUAUGACACACUAAUCAAAAGUUUUUUCAAGAGGUUCUAAGGGGGCUUAGGUUACGGGUGCGGAGAAAGGCUAGAAAAGUUGGUUAUAAUCGAGAUCAAGUUGAUAAAUUAUCAAACUAGAAAAAAAUAAAUGUUGAAUUAAAAACAAAUGCAUCAAUCAAGAAUAUUCAAAAACAAAAACAAGAUUCUUCUCAAAAAAUGAAUUUAAUUGUUCAAACUCAAUCAACAAAUAACUAGUUAAUAAUCAAUAUUUUUUUCAACUUUUUUUUCUUUUUCUUUCAAGAACAAUAAGAAAUAAGUCAACAAAUCAAACAGAAGAGCAUAGCUAGGCAACUAACCAAAUCAAAUCUCAACAAAAAGAGAAGUCAAUAAAACAGGAAAAAGUCACAACGAACGAAAAAAUGGGUUAUAGUUAAUAUUAACGGGUCAUUCAAGAAAAGGUGUGUUAGGCUCAACGGGGUUCACUAAUGAGUUAAUUAAAAAGGUAGACUUUUUUAUGGGAUAAGUGGGUUAAAACCUAAGUGCUUUUAUUAUCUCAGUAUAUCAAAUCAAAGAUGUGGUCUUGACAUGCAUAAUUGAAGCAAGUUCUAGAAUAACAAAUCAAGUUGACACGCUCAUAACCAAUAAUAGAAUGAACAUGUAAAAUGUAUGCUCUGAAGACUCAAAAUCUCACAAAAAACAUGGUUUUGAUGUCAAACUUGCAAAUUUAAAACUUCAAGAUAAUACCUCAAUUCAGGGAAACAACCUAAAAUUUUUAAUUCUGAAAAAUAACUUAUUAUGGUUGAUUCUUUCAUGUCUUAAAUUUUAAAUAAACUAAUGCACAAAUAUCUACAAAUUAAUCCAAAACAAAUCAACAAAAAUCACAAAUCGACAAAAUUUCAUUCUAAUUCAAGUAUGAGAAAUUUACUUAAAUACAAUAAAUAAUUUAGGGAUUUUUAAUAAUUAUAUAAAUAACCUCCCCACAUUUAAGAUGUACAUUGUCCUCAAUGUACUAACAAAUAUAAGCACAGUAUAAACAGAAUAUCAUAAGAGAGGAAGAAAACUGAAACUGCCCUAAAUAUUGGAUGAAAUCGUCAAAAUGGUGAAAAUCAAAAUUAUAGGCAAAUCUAAAUAUAGUGCAUGAUUCCGAAAAAACUAAUAAGAAAAUAAACACAAAUAAUGAAAAAUAUUAAGAGGUUACAAACUCGAUUAGAAACAACCAUAAAAAUAAAAAUAAAAAAUAGCUCAAAAGAUAAUAAACGAAAUAAGUCUAAGAAAAUAAAAAUAAAACAACUAAAAGAAAAAAUAAAAAAAUAAAAAAAAUCAAUAGUCUUCUUUGUCAGAGCCAUCGUGGUCGUGAGGCACCAAAUCUAAAGAAGAUAUAUGGAGGUGCUGACAGAUUUACUACAAAGUCGCAUCAAUACAGUUGAACUAUUCAUAAAAGUGUCACUCAAAACGAGUGAAACGCUCGGGGAGAUCUGCUAAGGUGGUAGCAAAAGUAGUAGGAUAGUGACUCUAAGAUGGAGGAUAAGGUGGAUCCUCAUGGUGGAAGGGGACAUCAUCGGUGAAUUUUUCAUGCUCAUCUUGAGGGUCAAAAUGAGAUAACUGGUAUUGAGGAGGAUCCACUCCACAAAGUCACUCGAUCAUCCUCAUGUGACUCAUACUCGAUAAUCCCUGCGUGGUCAUUUUCCCAAUAAUGGUAAAGGAGGAGGACUACUCCAAAGUGUCGAGGAUGUCAAAGUGUCGUGCGAGUCGAGUCACAUAAAGGCCUAAGUAGAUAGGGCCCUUCCUACCGCGCUCUGUUUGAUGGCACACAACUAGGGCGAUAAAAUAAGCAAGAUCAAAGGUGUGCCUCGUGGCCAUGUUUCAUAGAAAAUAAGCGUUGGUUGUACCGACAACGCCAGUGCUCUCCCUCCGACCGGUCAAAGUGUGAGCUAAAAUGGCAUGAAUAUAGUGUAAGGCCGGAGGUAAGGAAGCCACCUUCGAUCGACUCGUAUCAUAAGGCGUUGUACUCGCAGUGAGGUUUACCCAACAUAGAGAAGGCGAGUAGUGUAUAUGCCGGUAUAAACUGAGAAAGCUCUCGUGACUCAUGAACUCGUCAGUGAAAAGUCCUAAUGCAGCUCCGAACACCGGGACGCUCAUAUGACGCGUUGUGCCACCGAGUCUGAAGGUAAUAGUUCCCGGCUCAUCGUGUGUUGACAUCACUUGCUGAAAUAGGAAUGUUGAGCAAAAAUUGAGAGUAAGCUUCGAGUAGAUGGGCUCAAUGAUGGAGAAAAAUUGGUCCCAAGGAGUUGUGGCAAUGGUGACGCGCACUCUAUCAGCUAACUGCACCUACUCUAAAGUGGCCCAACCAAUGCAACGACCUAAUCCUAGUGGCCUCUGUCAAUGAUGCUGAUAAAGGUCCUCUUGAGAACCUUGUGCAAAGCGGAGGUAUGGAUGGUGGGAACCGGUGAAAGCGUCCGACGAUGAUGUCGCGCCCAGAUUUUUCUGCUUUUUCGAAGCAGGGAUGGCGAAUUUAGAUUUGCCACUUGUGUUGGUCAUUAUGUCCUUGAAAUAAAGGAUAAAAGUAAAAAAUCAGAUAACCAGAAAAAUUAGCAUAAACAACAUAUCAAAGAAAACAACUAUUGUAGGCCAAUAAACAGCACGAUAGAGACCGAAUUGAAGUGAAAACCUAAACCACAAUACUGAACAACUAACCUAAAAAAAUUCACCAACACUCAAGCAUGAUAAAAAUAAAAAUAAUAUAAUAAUAAAGAUAAAGUGAAAUAAAAACAAUCAAGGCCUAUUAAUAAAAUAACUAAAAAUAGUGAAACAUAAACUAAAUAAACAAAACCAAUAACAAUAAAUGCAAAAUAAUAUAUAUAUAUAUAUAUAAUAAUAAGAAGAAGAAGAAUAAGAUAAAUAAAAUUAAUGUAUAAAAUCGGAAAAAUAAAAAUAAGAAUGCAAAUAAUAAUCAUAAAAAAACUAAAGAUAAAAUAAUAAGAAUAUAAAUAAAAAUCAAUAAUAAGCUAAACAUAAUAAUAAAAAUGAUAAUAAAUAAAGAAGUAAAUAAAUAAUACGGUAAAAGAAAGGACCAAUAAGACUAAGGUUAUACGGCGGCGGUGGUAAUGGGCGGCGAUCCACGACGGUAGGCCGAUGAGGGGAUGGUAAGGAAGGAGGGGGAAGGCGGGGUGGUUUGUGGUUUAAAGGAGGGGAAAGGGAAACAAAGAAGAAAAUGGAAGGGUUAGUUGAAGGAAAAGAGCUGUCGGAGGUGGGGUGGAACCAAAGAGAGGAGCAAAUGGCGGGGUGGUUUUGUGGAGGGAAGAAAAUAGAAAGGGGAAGAAGAGAGAAAGGAUGAGGACGGAUGGGGGUGAGGGAGAGAACAGGUUCAGUUAGGGGAAGGCUGUGAUGGGAAUAAGGGAAGGGAAGGAAAAAGGGAAGGAUGAGGGACACAACGACGUGAGAGGGAGCGAACGGGGGUGACGAACGACGAGGAAAUGGUCGAACUGGUGGGUGGAGAGUCGAACGACGUUUAGGGUGGGUUGUGAGAAGAAGAAAAAGUACAAAGAAAUUAGGGUUUUUUGGGGGUAAUAAAGGAGACACAGUCGUGUUUAGACCCGUGUUGGGCAACACGCCCGUGUGGUACUCUUUUAGGCUGUGUGUAAUUCAAAAAAAUUAAGCCUAGUCUUCACACAACCUCAGACACGCCCGUGUGCGAUCUCCUUUGCUUCUCCCACGCCUAUGUGAGAGGCCGUAUGGGUCACACGAUCUCAUACACGCCCGUAUGUCCCGAUCGUGUCUCGCACAUUAUCAUGUCUCUUGCUCGUGUAACUCAUUGACUUGAAAUUAAAAUUAAAAAAUUAGUUCCAAUACUCACACGUCCAUGUGCCUAAGCCAUUUGUGCCACACGGCCGUGUUUCAAAGCUAUGUGGACCACCUCAGGCUGUGUUACAAUUGAAUUUUGGAAAAAUUAAGUCUCGAGAUUCACACGGCCAAGGACACCCCCGUUUGUCCAGGCUGUGUGACUCACAUGGACAUGUUUUUACACCAUGUAACUCUAUCAUUUGCUCCCUUAUGCAUACAGCCUAGGACGCGAUUGUGUGUCCACGCCGUGUGGGUCAAAAACACACAUUUUUUUUAAAUUUAACUUUAAAUUAGCAUGCAAUAAAUUAAAAGAACUAACUGAGGUUAAACACUCAGGUUGCCUCUCGAGAAGCGCUUAUUUAGAGUCUAAGUUUGACUUUACCUUAUGCACGAUUACGAUGGUUCAUAGAGCCGAAGCUCCUAUUUUUCGUUAUCAAUUAUUCUACCAAGAUAAGGUUUGAGUCAAGUACUAUUUACCUUAAAUGUGUCUAACUCAAAAUGAGUUACCUCAACUGUACCAUAUGGGAAGACGUUCAAUACCGUAGAUGGGUUUGAUCCAUUUUGCAUCAAGUUCCGAAGAGGCAAUGCAUGGAUCCGUUUUGUCUAGUAGUACUUCAUCCCCAACCUUAAAUUAGUUUGUUCCAUUCAUAUGCACCUCAUGAUGUCGCUUUGGCUCUUCAUCGUGUUUUCUCGAUUUCUCCUUGACAUGUGUUCGCCAUUCAUCUAGUUCAUUGAGUUGCACCAUUCAUUGUUAAUGAGUUGUUCUAUUUUUGUCACCUUUACUGAAACAUGGCUCUAUUACAUUUUCACCAGAGAUUUCCUACAAUGAAGGUUGAGCCACAUGGUUACUCACAUUAACAGAACAUUUCAUACCAUCUCGUUCACUAGAGAUUUUUGCAGAAUCACGUGUUUGGAGAGUAAUCGUUUUGUCACAUACCCGAAGUACUAAUUCACCCAUACCAACAUCAAUAAUAGCCCUGCUAGUGGCUAAAAAGAGGCGACCUAAAAUUAAAGGUAGCUCACUACCCUCAUCCAUGUCCAACAUAACAAAGUCAACGGGGAAUAUGAAUUUAUCUAUUUUAACAAGCACAUCCUCAAUAACACCCCGAUGGUUCUAUCUGCUAAUUGAAUACUCAUCCUAAUGUGUUUAGGUUUCCCAAGACCUAGUUGUUUAAAAAUUUUGCAGGGCAUGACAUUAAUAAUGGCCCCUAAAUCAGCUAAGGCAUUAUUAUUUAAACUACUAGUGAGACAAGGAAUAGUAAAACUCUCUGGAUCUUUAAAUUUGUUGGGUAGUUUAUUUUGUAAUAUGGCCAAGCAAACUGCAUUGAGCUCUAGAAUCGACGAGUCGUCUAACUUCCUUUUGUUUGCCAAAAGCUCCUUUAAAAAUAUGACGUAAUUUGGCAUCUGCGAAAGAGCUUCAACAAACAGUAAGUUAAUAUGUAAUUUCUUUAAGAGCUUGAGGAAUUUACCAAAUUGUUCGUUCGUGUGGUCUCUCUUUGACACCUUAGGAUAUGGCACUCGAGGUUUAUAUUCCUUGACAAUCAGCUUUUUCUCUUUCCUAUCUUCCACAGCAUUAUCGUUAUACACCACAAUUUCUUGCCUUAGUUCUUGUUCAGAUUCAACUAACCCUUCUUUGUCUCAAACAAUAAUUGCAUGAAGCUGCUCCUUUAGGUUAGUUUCAGUAUUGCUAGGUAAGCUACCUUGUGGUCGUUCUAAGAUUAGUUUAGCAAGCUGACUUAUUUGGUUGUUGGAAGCCUGGAGGGGGUUAUGCUCUUUGAAUUCCUUGACCACCCUAAGUGAAAUUGGGAUAGUUCCUCCAACCUGCAUUAUAUUUGUUACUAUAAGGGUUGUUUUGAGGCCUAAAAUUAUUACUCAUAUAAUUGAUUUGCUCAUUCUCUAUGCUAGGACCGAAGGGUAAACAUUUUGGAUUAUUUAUUCCACCUCCAUUUGUAUUGCAUUGCAUCACUAGAUGUACAUGUGUAGAAAGAUAUAAACAAUUAAUUUUCUUAUUUAAUACUUCGACCUGGUUCGAUAACAUGGUGACUACAUCUAAAUUAAAAACACCGACUGCAUUCAGCGGCUUUGUCCUCAUGACUUGCCACUGAUAAUUAUUCAGUGGCAUCUCCUCUAUAAACUCAUAAGCCGCUUCGGGUGUUUUAUUGUUCAAAGUUCCACCGAGUACUACAUCAAUCAACUGCCUCAUUAAGGGGUUCAAACCAUUGUAGAAGGUUUGAACUUUUAACCAUAAAGGUAAGCCAUGGUGAGAGCACCGUCUCAAUAGAUCCUUGUAUCUCUCCCAUGCAUCAUAUAUUGUCUAUAAGUCGAUCUGAACAAAGGAAGAUAUGUUAUUCCUCAACUUAGUUGUCUUAGCCGAUGGGAAGUAUUUUAGUAGAAAUUUCUCGGUCAUUUGAGCCCAUGUAGUAAUGAAACCUCGUGGUAAAGAGUUCAACCACUAUUUUGAUUUGUUCCUUAACGAGAAUAGGAACAACCGUAAAUGAAUGGCGUCAUCAGUGGAACCAUUAAUCUUGAAAGUGUCGCAGAUUUCCAAAAAAUUAGCCAAAGGAGUAUUUGGAUCUUUUUCUUUCAAACCAUUGAACUAAAUAUACUGUUGUACCAUCUGAAUUGUAUUCAGUUCAGUUCGAAAUUAUUUGCAGCAAUGGUAGGUCACACAAUACUCGAUUCAACACCAGUCAGAGUGGGCUUGCCAUAAUCGUACAUAGUACGAGAAAUAGGAGUGGAACGACGAAAAUGUGCAAGUGUACACAACGCAACAAGUCAUAAAGUGACAAGUAAAUGUUGAACUAUCAUACCCACAGGGACUGUAAAAGAAUUAUUUAUGAAAGUAAGUUUAAACACUUUGGUGAAAGAAAAAUAUUUGGAUUUGGGAAAUGAUUAAAAACUAGAAACAAAGUAAAUAAAAUAAAAUAAAAAGUUCUAAUGCACGAUUUCAAAAGCUGAUUUUAAUCAAGAUGAUAUAAUUGUGCUAGAUUAAUUACAUUUCCUUACCUUAGAAUCAUUAAACUUAUGCUUAUACUUAUUACUAAUAAAUCACGACAACUCGGUAAUUCACUAACUUAUGAACAUAUUUACAAAUAAAAAAUCCAUUCAUCUCUUGUACAUAUUCCUAUGUCAAUUCGAUCGAUAAAACAAAUUUAUAAAGAUAAACAUGUUAUUGCACAUACAUACUUAUUAAAUUAAACAAUCUCUUGCAUAUUCCUAUGUCGAUUCAAAUGAUUAAUUCAACCAAAUAAGCAUAUAAAAGACUAUGUGAGGUAACAAAGUAUCCUUACCUUGAAACAGUUAAAUCACAAUAAUCUUGCAAGUUAUGCAAGGCAUAAGUAUCGCCAAAUACAAUGCUAAUCUAAUCUUCAGCUACCUAAGAAGAAUUAAACAUGCACUGAUUAAGUACUGUGUCCAUUAAUUACAAUUUCAAUGCAUUUAAAUAAUUAAAUCUUUAGUUAUCUUACAAUUGUAAUGCAAAAAUAACUUAAUCAUGGUUUUACUUAGUCAAACAUUUUACCGAGGCCUAUAACAGUAUAAACAUAAAUUUAACAAAUUAAGAGGACAGAAUGCAAUCAACCCAACAUGAAUUAAAUUCAAGCUAAGAUGAUUAAACUAAUCAUUCCAAUAGCAUAAAUAUUCAUAGAUGUGUUCAUCAUAAAAACAACAAAAAUUAAAGAGAUAAUGAGCAGGAAUCAAAUCUGGUGGUUUUCCGUGGCUUGACUAGGUUGCUCCGUUCUUCCUUCUUUGCUGUCCUCGCCGGUCAAGGCUGCUAUGAACACUCAAUUGCUACUCCAAAAUGGCUGAAGAAGACCCCUUUCCCAAGAGGAGAAAUCGGCACAAGAGCAAGGAACUUUGAAUGGGAAAAUGAGAGAUAAAAGUGAGAGAGGAGAGAAGAGUUGUGAGAAAAGAGAUGUGAAUAAGGGAUGAUUUGAAUGGGAAGAAAAAAUAGAAAAUUUUAGCAGCCAAAGAUCCCCCUCAUGGCCGGCCAUCCUACAUGGCAAAGUUGAGAAUUUCAACUUUGCUAAAAUUAGCCUGGGGCAAAUCCGUAAAGCCUUAAUUUAAGGUGAGGUUUGAAUGCAAUUUGGAAGUCUUCCAAUGGCCUUUUUGCAGCUCAUUUAAUUAGCUAAAAAUGCUUAUUUGGGUCAGCAUUUGAACGGUUCUGGGCUGCCCAAUUGGUGGCUGGUUCGGUUUGCUCAAUUUGGUUCAACUAGUGCGGUUCAACUAGGCUCUUUUUUUCCAUAAUUAAUUAAAAUUAAUUUAUUUAGCCCAAAUUAAAUUGGGAAUAAAUUAAAAUUAAUUAUAUUAUGAAUUAAUACACAUAUUUGGACUGUCUUAGGCUGGAAAUUAUUUUGCCUUGUUACUUCGAAUUGCUUCUCGAUUUUGUUCUUCUAACGGUGUCUACCAGGUCAAUUUUCACCUUUUGUACGAAUCUGUCAAAAAUAAUCAAAAUUCACUAAAAAUAAUUAUAAAAUUGACUAAAAAUUAACAUGUUCAAAUUUUUAAUACAAUUUAAUUAUUUUAUAAAAAUUAAUUAUUUUAUGACAAAAAUUCUAUCGAAAAUGCAUGAUUUUAAGUAAAAUUAGGUAUGAAAAAGUAUAUAAAUCUUUGUGUUUCCAAGGAGCAGGAGCUGCAGCAACUACAUGAGGUAGUUGAAUAUUCUAAUUAUCACCUAUCUCCUCAGUAAUAAUAAUAUCCUCUUAUUCGCCUACUAAAUUCUGUCAACUAUGCCUUGUUUUUCUACGAUUUUUCUGAGCUGUACUUUCAAUUUCGUUGUCGAAAAGCAAAGGUCCCGACAGGUUUCUUCUAGUCAUAAACCAAGAGAACCUGCCAAAAGUAAAUAAAAUAAAAAAAUUAGAAUGUAAAAAUUAAACUAAAACAAGAAUAUCAAAUAAAAAAUAAUAAUGUUUAAUUAAUAAAAUUAAAUUGUUCCUAAUAUUUUAGUCCCCGGCAAUGGUGCCAAAAACUUGAUGUGUCUUCAUGUUACUAACUAAAUAUACGACUAGGGCAAGUGCACCUAUCGAUAAUAGUAUAGAUACGAUGAGGUGAGAUAUCGUAUCCACGAGGACUAAAAGUAUUAGUAAUUAACAUUUUCUUAUUACUUAGCCGACAAAUUGGAGUGAUGUGUUUAAAACUAAAUUUACAAAACUAAAUUAACUAAUAACUCAACAAAGAAUGAAUAAGGAAAAUAAUCGAAUGAUAACUAAUGAGAGAGACAAUACCUAGGAAAGAAUUCACCUAGACUUUUCCUAUUAUUAUGAAUCUGAAUUAAACGAUUUAUUCACUUGGUGUCUUGAUCUGUAGAAAUCCCUAAAUUAUGCUAAUAUCUCUUCGAAAGUAAGAGCAAUUGACUCUAGGUUGAUUAAUUGAAAUCUCUUUCUAAUUAAAACCCCUAUAGUCGAAUUAACUCAAUUUAUGAAAUCCAUUAUUAGAUUUGACUCUAAUCCAGUAGAUUUAUGUCAUCUUAUUUUAGGAUUGCAUGCAACUCCACUCAAUUAUGCUAGAUCUACUCUUAAACAAAGACUUUUUCUCCACUGAAUUAUUCAUAUUAAACAUGAAUUAAUAUCCAAAAAAUAUUAAAACAAGAAAUAAACACACAUAAUUCAGAACAAGAAUCAAGUAUUUAUCACGUAAAACAGAAAUUAAAUAAUAGAAUUCAUCAUAGGUUUUAUCUUCCCUAGGUAUCUAGCGAAUUAGUUCAUAAUCCUGAAUGAAAAUAUAUCAAAGUCAGAAAAACUAGAAGAAACAAAGAAACUCAUAAAAACUUCAAAAGAAAUUAAAAUGGCGUCUUCGAUCUUAACAAAAAUCUACUUUGAGUUGGCUCCAAUUGUGUUCUUCGAGUUGUUUCUUCGAUCUUCUCUGAUGGCUCCCAUAUCUCUUAUUCGAUUUGGUAUUUAUAGAAUUUAGAAUGCUCAAAAGCCUAAAAAAUGUGUUUUUCAGCGUGUUUGGGAAGCAUGUUGCAAAAUCAACAUGGGCUGGCACAUGGGCGUGUGUCCAGCCCGUGUGGCUCCUGAAAUUUUCUCUUUCUCUUGACUUUCGCUCCUUUUUCUCCCAAAUGCUCACCUAAGUAUAAGGGCAUGAAUUAAAAUGAUUAGAAGCAUCAAAUUCACCAGUUUUCAUAAAUAAUCAUCCAAAAAUGCAUUAAGAAUAAGAUUAAAACAUGUUAGUUUUAUCAUUUAUCAAUUUACUAAAGCUGGCAUUGCCUUCAACACCCCAUUGAUUAAAGUUGUUAUGCAUAAGCAAUUCUUCUAAAUAAGGCAGACCUGAUAUGAUUUUCCUGGAAUGACUUUAAGCUUAGAAUAAUUACUCAAAUCUAAGGACUUAAACCUUGUUAGUCUCCCUAUUUCCUAAGGGAUCUCUGAAUAUCAGAACUGAAAAUUUUAAGUGUAUCCAAUUGCUUCAGGUUCCCAACAAUUGUGAUGUCAUUCAACUUACAUUCAUUGAAACGCAACCUUUGAAGGUUUCUUAAAGAAGUAAAUGAUGAAGGUAGGGAAGCAAAAUCUAUACCAGUGAAAUCUAAUAUCAAGAGUUCAUUCAUCUGCUCAAAGAAAUUUUCUGGGACUUCUAACGAUGGAUUUUUGUUUAACAAAACCAGCAACUUUAACCUAAGGCAUUCAAGAUUGUCUGAUAUCUUGUUAAUGCUAGUGUAUGGCAACAAAAUGGUAGUGCAAUUAUUGAGUUUUCUUUUCUUUAGCAGCUCUUUAAUAUGGAUUUCAUCCUCUAUAACAAACAUCUGCUUUUCUUCAGAUGCAAUCCAAAUGGCAACAUCACGAACAAUGUCAUUCAUUUUCACCAUUUCAUUGUUGUCACUGCUGAGUAAUAAACCUGCAUCUUUGAGCUUAUUCAAACAUUAUUUGGCUUCUUCCAUUGUGCUAGCAUUACUUGCUAUUCUUAAACCCAAGUUGUAUCUUAGCAAAUCAAAUACAUGAAUGUCAAAACCGUGGGGUAGCAAGGCACAGAUUUGGAAAAAUAACUACAAUUGAGGUUUCUUUAACAUGCUGUAACUUUUCUCUAUAGUGAAGUAAACACUUUGAACGCUUCUUCAUUUUUUGUAAUUGGCUUUGGUUCUUUUUUUCAAAGCCUCCACCAAGUUGAAGUUUUGUGUUCUCAAUGCAAUUGCAAUUGCUAAAAUAGCAACUGGAAAACCUGCACAAUUUUUCACAACUUUAGUCAGUAGUUGUCAGUAACCAAGCUUGUUUGCUGCAUUGCCCAUAACUUUCUGAAUCCACUCUAUUGUUUCUUCAUUAGUUAACAUUUGGACAUUGAAUAUUUCUUCAGUUUUCAUGUCAAUGAGUAACUGUGGAUGUGUGGAAGUUAGCAAUAUUUUGAAUCUAACAGCAGAGAAUUUUUGAAAACCAUUUUCACUAAUAUUUUGCAGUAAUGGUCGUCCUAGAUCUUCUUCAUUUGCAAUAUUUUGGUCACCUUCAAUAGCAAUCCCAACUUGUUCCAAUUCCAGUCUUUGACCAUCCUAAAUAUCAUCUAAAAUUAAAAGAACUCUCUUAUCUUGUUUCUUCAACCAUUUCUCUAGUCCCAUUUCUCUUGCAAACACAAUCUCCUUAUCAAGUUUCAGACCUAGUGCAUCUGUAAUUUCUCCCUAAAUUCUUUUUAAGUUUGGAUUCCACAACACAGUUACCAUCACAACCUCAUCAAGCAUGGUUUCUUCAUUGACUCUCCUAGCAGCUUCUUUUACUGGCAUUGUCUUGCCUACACCAGGCAUCCCAUUUACUCCAAUGAUCUUCAAAUCAGGAUCCUUUAAAGCUUCCACAAUAUCUUCCCUGAUAGUCGAGUAGUUGAUAAGAUGAUUACCACACUUCUUGAGAGAUAUGAAUCAAGGAUAUCCUCAUUGGAAGAUUCAAAGGAUCUAUCAACCAUCUCACUCUUUGAACUAAUCAAUGCUCUGUAUGCUCAAGAAAAAAGAAGGGCAAAUAAAGAAUAAAAGUACGUUGAUGGAGUCUUUCAAGCCAAAAAUAGAAAAGGCUCGAGCUCCUCAAAAAAUGAAGAAAAGAAGGACUGGACAAAGAAGAAACAGGAUAAUUGGAGAGAUGGUGGCAAGGAGAAAAAUCCAUUACGUUCUCAAUACAAAAAGACCAAUCACUUAAAGAGGUAUUGUUGGUUCAGGCCAGAUAUUUAAUGUAGAAGCUGUAAACAAUUUGGUCAUAUGGAGAGAGUGUGCAAGAAUAAUAGGCAUGCACAACAACAAAAUGCUCAGGCACAGACGAAAGAAUCAAAUCAAUAAGAACUGGUGUUCACUGCCUCCUGCGAAGCCAAACUCGCUACCCCAUGAGAAGUCCUAUUUGCGACACCGUGUGAACCCUCCAACAAAGUAAGAAAAAACUGGUUGGUUGACUGUGGUUGUACAAACCACAUGACUUCAGAUGAAAGCAUUUUCAAACGGAUUGAUAGAAGUUGCAUUUCAAAAGUUAGAGUUGGAAAUGGCGAGUACAUCGAAGCUGUAGGAAAAGAAGAUAUGCUAAUCAGCACUUCUACAGGUACUAAAGUAAUUACAAAUGUGCUUUUAAUUCUUGAGAUAAAUCAUAAUCUCCUUAGCAUUGGUCAAUUGAUUGAGAAAAAAUAUAUUGUAACACCCCUAACCCGUAUCCAUCGUCAGAUUAAGGUUAUGAGGCAUUACCUAACACAACACAGUCUAACAGAGUCAUUUAUCACAAUUCAUAUCUACUAAUCAUAUCUCAUAUACAAACCAUACUUCUUUUCUGUGCAAACCAAUUUCACAAUACAAUUCACACACUGAAAUUUAACUAAGUCAUAAUCAUUCUACUACUCACAUUUCGAACCAAUUAACAUACAUCGAUUCAUAUUACAUUAUAGCAAAACACAUCUAUCAACUAAAUCAUACAUAUAUACUUUGAAACAUACUUCCCAAAAGAGCUUAUAACAUGACCGAAUAUACAUAAUAAUUAGUAUAUCUAACAAGCCAUUUCGCAUGGCAACUUAUAUACAAUUCAAAAUUAGCCAUAGUCUAUACAUGCCAUUUGUCACAAUAUCAAGCUUUCAAAAUACCGAAAUGGCAAUUGAUAGUGUGAAGAUAAUCCUUGAUGAUCCCCGAGCUCGAGCUAGCUUUAUGUAUCUAUAAAGAAAUGGAAGGAUGCACAAAGUAACCUUUGGAAGCUUAGUAAGCCAUAAGCAAAUAAAUCAUCUCAAUGAUAUUUAGAAUUCAAUUCAACUAGGUCUAAUUCAAAUGAAUCUCAAACACAUAUACAUUUAACUAACUCAUAUAAAUUCAUAUUAUCACAUUAAGUACUAAACUUACCUUAAUAUUUCAUGAACAUAUAACUUCACACAUACCUGAACCAUUUAGCUCAUAUUUACAUUCGGAAUUGUUAAGAACACACGGAAUUCAUAUAAAGCUCAUACAAUGCCAUAUCCCGGAUAUGGUCUUACAUGUUAACGCAUAUCGAUGCUACUGUCCCAAACAAUGUCUUAUAUGAAUCAUAUACGAUGCUAAUGUCCCAAACAUGGUCUUACACGUUUUCUCACUUUGAUGCCAAUGUCCCAGACAUGGUCUUACACGAAAUCACACCUCAGAAGUCCUAAUAUCAUGACAUCAAUAUCCAAUACAUUUCCUAAGGUUCAUUCAAAGCUUUCGAAUUCGUAAUUAAAUCAAUUCAUGCACGAAACCAAUCAUCCAAUGCUCAAAUCAAUUCAUCAAUAUAUAUGUAUACAUAUACAAAUCAAUUCGGUAAUGUAUAUCCAAAUACGAAUCAAUUCGGCAAUGUAUAUCCAUAUACAAAUAAAUUCGGCAAUGUAUAUCUAUAUACAAAUCAAUUAGGUAAUGUGUAUCCAAAUACAAAUCAAUUCAGCAAUGUAUAUCUAUAUACAAAUAAAUUCGACAAUGUAUAUCCAAAUACGAAUAAAUUCAGCAAUGUAUAUCCAAAUACGAAUCAAUUCGGUAAUGUAUAUUUAAAUACAAAUCAAUUCGGCAAUGUAUAUCUAUAUACAAAUCAAUUUGACAAUGUAUAUCCAAAUAUGAAUCAAUUCGGCAAUGUAUAAAACAUAUACAUUUGAAUUAAAAAAAUAUUUAUUUACUUAUGAACUUACCUCAUACGGAAAUAAACGGAUUGGAUCAACUACUAAAUCUGAUUUCUUUCUUUUUCGAUCUAAUUGAAUUCAAAUUUAACUCAUUUAAUCACAUAUUCAUUCAAUUUCAUCCAAAAUACCUAUUUGGACAUUUUUACACUUUAGCCCCUAAAGUUUCACAUUUAUUCAAUUUAGUCCCAUUUUCACAAAUACACAAAAUUUGCACAAUUCAAUAUAACCCAAGCUUAUUAGAAUUAUUAUAGUGCCCCUAGCAGCCCAAAAAUUUCAUUUAUUUCACAUUUCAACCACCCAAUUUACAUAUUUCACAAUUUAAUCCAUAUUUAACAUUUUUGUCAAAAAUCACUUUACAAAACAUAUUAAUCUAUCAAAAAUUAUUCAUUUUCCAUCAUCAAGAUUCAAAAACAUCAAGUUAUCAUUAAUGGUAACUCACAAAUUCAUCAACCAAUUCAAAAAUUAGGGCAUGGACUAGCUAGAACACGAAGCAACGAUCUCAAAACGUAAAAACUAUCAAAAAUGGGACAAAAACGCAUGCCUAAUUGAGAUUACAAGCUUGUCCGAAUGUUUUGCAAAAAAAUGGCUUCUUUCCCUUCUAAAAAUCGGUGGAAGAUGGUAAUGGAAGAUGAUGAUAAUUUUGUUUUGUUUAUUUUUAACAUUAAUUACUAUUUUACUUAAUUAACCUUUAUAAACUUUAAUGAUUACACAAAAUGCCACUCCACUAUCAUCCACUAACUUACAAAUGGCCUAUUUACCACUUAAGGACCUUUACUUUAAUAUUCUAUAGCUAUUAGACACCUUUAGCUUGUAGAAUAUAACUUUUACGCUCUACGCGAUUUAGUCCUUUUUACCGAUUAAGCAUUCAAACAGUAAAAUUUCUUUAUGAAACUUUCACACAUAUAUAAUCACAUGUUGUAAAUACCAAAAAUAAUAUUAAAAUAAUUUUCUAACCUCAGGUUUGUGGUUCUGAAAUCAUUAUUCCGAUUUAACUAAAAUCGGGCGGUUACAUAUAUUAUUGUUUUCAAAGAUAAAUAUUGCAUUAUAUUUGAUUCAUUAGGAUAGGAAGUUGUGAUUGUCUCAAUGAACAAUAGAAGAUUUCUACUAGAUUGGAAUUUUAUGGCCUUGAGAGCCUAUACCAGUUCAAUAGAUAAAUCAUAUAGUUGGCACAAAAGACAGGGACAUGUGAACAAGAAGUUCCUUAGUCAAGUCAAGUGUGCAAACCAAAAACAAUUGUGAAGAUAACUAAUGUUGACGAUAAAGAUUUAGGUAAAGGCUUUGAUAAUCUUCCUGUUAAAGAUACCAGGUUUGUUGUUGAAACUUAUCACAGAUGUGACUUAGCAGUAUGGGAGUCUACAAUUUUGAAGAAGUUGCACAAGAAAACAACAUUGGUGCUUGUUGCAAAAUGGUCAAGAAAGAGUGUUCAAAGUUGGCCAAUCAAGCAGUAGAAAGCAGCAGGAUAAACUGUGAGCCUACGAGCUCACCAAAAUGCAAGUUGCGAAGUUAGCAAAAAUGUGUGUUGAUAGAUGUCAAGCUAUGAAAGUGCAAGCUACAAGCUAAAUGAAAUAUGUGAUACAAAAGUGCGAGGUCAUAAAAAUGAGAGCUCAUCGAAGCACAAGCUUGAGAGCAGGCAAAGAUGCAAACUUGUUGAUACUCUAACAAAAUCCCUUGGGAAGAUGAAGUUUGAAAAACUAGGUUAUGAUAUUGGGGUUCGCAACAUGGAGGCCAAGGAGGAGUGUUGCGAAGUUGCCAUCCAUGCAUUGGCAAACCUAGCUCCUACAUGAUUGCGAGCUCACCAUAUCUGCGAGCUCACCAAAAGAUGCAAGCCCACCAAGAGUGCGAGCUUACCUACGAACUAUGAAUUGCGAGCUCACCAAGAACUACAAGCUCACAAAAAUGUGCGAGCUUGCCAAGAUCAUGAGCUCACCAAGCAUGCGAGCUCACCUGCGAGCUCUUCACUCUGCAAGUUGCCAACUUGCACUCAAACUGUGACAAAUUUUAAUUAAACAUUUUGGCAAGCGAUUAGCUAGAAACCAACAAAUGAAAAACAAAGUUAUAUGAAUUUAGUCACUGAAUUAAGCCAAGUUGUAAUAUUUUAUUAUUAUUUUUAGCUUAUUUAAGCAUAGUUUUUCAUGUAAACUAAGCAUCAAUUUUUUAAUGAAACAGAUCACCAAAAAUUAACUUCUCCAUUUUUCAUCUUUUGCUUCUGUUUCAGCCUCUCAUUCUUCAAAAAUCCAACACACCUCUUCUUUGCUUGCGCUUCAAGGUUAUUCAUUGUCUCUGACUAUUCCUUGAUUUUCUCUUUUGCGCGAUUCACCUAAAUCUGGCCAUCUUGGUCAAACUCUUGUGCCUUUUCCUUGGCAACAUCAAUGUAAUAUGCUGCACUCUGUCUCUUUGAUAUCUCGAUUCCUUAAUUUGUUCCUUCAGAUUCUGAACUUUACCAUCAGGCUUCAACAUGUAACGUUUAAACCCAGAAACAAACUCUAUUUUUGGGGGGUUUUUCAAUUUAUAGUAAUUGGUAAAGCAAACAAAGCAAACCAAAAACAAAAUAGCAGUGAAUGAAUGACCAAACUAUGGAGCAAAUGGAGUUUCAAUCUUUGUAUUGAAGGGAAAAAAGAUGCAAUGAAUGGCAAAGACAACAAGGCAAAGAAAGCAUCAAAAGGUAAAAUAAAGAACAUGAAGAUAAAACUAAGAAUGUAGAAUCAAUGCUUUGAUCAUUUGCAGAAGUUAAGGUUUUGAUCAUUAGAAGCUCAAACUCUUAGUUUUUAUGACUGGUUGUUUUGAGUCUUGCCGGUCUCUAAUCGAGUUAGCCUAAUUGAGUAAAAAAAAUUGGAGAUAAUAGAGUUAGUCGAAUUGAGUAAUAAAUUUUUGAAUUUUGUUGGUUUUGAUAAUUUUUUUUAUAUAAUUUUUUAGCUUUUUUAAAAAUAUUUCUAAUUUUUUUUAAAUAUUAAUUUUGAAAUUUUAAAAAUUAUUUUUAAUUUUUCUGAGAGAGUGACCAGUUUAUACAUUUUCAAUACUGAUAGAGACCAAAUGAGUAUUUAUAUCAAUUUGUUGUUCAAUUGUAAAAUUUUAAUUUGACUUGAAAUCAAAGCUCGAAUUAUUUAUUUGAGUUAACUUGAAUAUUUUGAAUAACUUGAUUCGAUUAAAAUCUAAAUUAUUUUUAUUUUUUUUGAAUCGAAUCAGAUUUUGCUCGAUGUUAGAAUCUUUACAAACUACAAUGAUAUCUUUACUCUGGCAACUUUUCAUUUUUCAAUACAUGUUGCAAUUAGUGUUUUGUUUGAUAAAUUUAUUUGAAAGUGGAGCUUCCAUAUUUAAGUUAUAAUUGUUGAUUAAAUUAUUUAUUCAUUUCUUAACAAAUUUAUGAAUGUUUCUUCUUUUCAUAUUUUUGAAAAAGAAAAAGAAAGAAUUCUUCAAAGAAAAGAAAAAAAGUUAAAAUGAAGCAAAACGGUUUUGGAAGGCAAAGAAUAAAGUGCAGAGAAGCUUUAAAUGUUUAAUGUUAUUUAAACUCCUUUUUCUUCAAUUUUCCAUAAGAAUUUUCUGUUUUUUUUUUUAAAGUUAAAAUUUUAAAGAUUGGAAAAUUCAUAAAGGAAGGAAUUUCUGGGUUCUAAAUAUUCUUAAGAGUUGAAAUUACCACAAUAAAAGUUGUUAGGAAAAUCAUGAAACUUUGAUUUUCAUCGAUUGUUAAAAAAAUACUUGUAAUUCAGUUCAACACUAACAAUUAAAGUUACAAAUUAAAAUGCAAUCGCUCAUGUACAGGACACUGAUAGGCUAGAUUAUCGGAUGCAUUUCCGGACUUAGGUAUGAAAAUAUGACUUUCAAAGACGAAAAAGAAUAUAAAAGAAAUGGAACAUAUCAUUGUUACUGACAUUCAAACUCAAAGUUGGAGUAACAUGGCUAGGAAGUGAAAUACCAACUUUAGAUCAAUGAAUAUGGCUGCAACUGAGCAGCAGCUAGUAGACAGCAUUUGAACUCGCAAUGAAAGGGGCAUCUCCCAUAACUCUUUAUAAAGCGACUGUGCCAAAAUGAUAAGUGAAAUAAUCAAUUUCUGCCAUUAAACUACAUUUUAUGCUUAAGCUCAAAACUAAAAGCAUGAUAUUUUUAACACUCAUGCAACACAAAAUCAUUUCUGUGAUUCUUUGAAACUCAUACUUUUCUAAAGCAAAUAUCUCCACUUUUCCUUCAAUAUUGGCCUUUCUGUAGUUUGUAUCCUUGAGCUGAAACUCUUCCAUAUGAAUAGCAAUGGAUUGAGUGAUUGUCGCUGCAUGUAAAUUGUUGGCAUGUUUAUUAUUUGCAUCCGCUGUAAUUUCAUCAUUCAUCCCCUAAUAUUAAAAUGGAAAAAGGUAUUCCAAAGUUAUGUUUUUCCCCCUUCAAUCAAACACAUAUGUAAGAUAUAGACUCACAAAGUUAGUUGACUGGUUGUGCCAUAUCUUUCUCCAGUUUCCCACACCCGUGAUGCUCUGUUCCUCUAAGCAAGGUUAGUUUGCUAGAGAAAAACAAGUAGUACAACAAGAAUAGGGAAUCAAAUAUUUAACAAAAAUGAACAAUAAAAAAGACAUGAAAGAAAGCAAUGAUACAAGAAAACAAAAAUGGGACAUUACCUUUCAAUGGAAAGAGUUGGAAAGCGAAUCUCUGAGUUGUUUCUUUCUAUCCUAAGAAAAUAAUGCCAGUGCCACUAGUGAUCAUAAGAUUGGCAUUUGUCCUCUUAAAUCAUUUUCUCAACCCUUCACAAUGUUCGUUCUCAAUUAAGUACAAGUAUGACUCACUAAUUCAAUUGUGACAAAAGGAGUAUUUGAGGGAACCACUUAUCAGUUUACACGUAAGAAUAUCAUACAUAUUUACUAGUUACAAGUGUUUAACUAGGGGAAGAAGUAAACUAACACUACAUAUCUAAUUAUAUUCACAACAUCAGCAAAACCAAUUAAGCUUAUUUUUACUCAAAAAGACUUGGAAUCUCAUCUCAAAACUGUUAACAAGCGGCUUCCGAUGUCAAAGUGGAGAAUGCUGAGGUAUAAUUCUCUGAGCAGAGCCUUGAAAGACUACCAAGUUCUAAAGACUUGAGUUGGGAGAAAACGAUGCCAUCCAUGACUUCAUCAGUGUAGAAAAGCUAUGGUUUCUUCUAACUUUUGGCAAUCAGUAACACUCAUUCUUGUGAGUUACACCAUGCUUUUAGCUAUUGUGAAAGCUACUAAAUUUCUGAAUCCAUGGCAUUUUGAUGCCUCUACAGUUGUCAAAUGCUUGAAUGACAAAAAAGAUGGCACUAAAUUCUUUAAUUUUCCGCAUCCCAACACUUGUAGAAAACUUCUGCAAGUGAUAGUUUGCUCUUCUAGAUAUGUGUCAACUCAGGAAGAUAAUACAACCUUAACUCCUUCAAGCAAGCAAGUGUUCCUGCACGUUCGUUUUCAUCUCUUACUCCUUCACAUGGAAAUAAUUCAUUGAAGGUAGCCCUUUGCCAAAAGAAAGGUAUUCAAGAUUUGGUAAUGACUAAAUGAAACAAUCUGAGAUAGUAAUUCAUGUUUCGGGACAAUCAAACUUUCUUAGUUUGGGACAAUAUUGUUUCGGGUCUGCUCCAUGUCCAUGCCAUACCUUCAUAUUGCCAUUCCGAGCCAAAACCAAUUCUUCUAAAUUGGGGAAUGUUUCCUGAGAAAUUAAGAACCAUAUAUAUGUUAAAUAAAAGCAAAUCUUCCAAAGUGAUUGAUAAAAUAUGCAAAUCUGUUUAGAUUGACCUUUUAUUUAGUUUCUUUUAUGAGAUCUUACCUUAGUGACCCAAAAUAGGGGUUGUUGAACAGGGAUAACGGAGUGGUUCUCUUCUUGUGUUUCUCUAAAGUUGAUAUACUCCCCAGCGAAUGUCUCCACCUUGCUGCAUUCACACACCUCCAAUUGUUUUAACAAUGGCCAAUCUGUAGUAUGCACCUUGGAGUACAAACCCUUCAAUUUGGGUAGCUUAUGAAGUAUCAGCUGUCUUAUUUUAGGAAACAGAAACUUGGUAGUUGAUUUGAGCUCAAUUGAUUCAUUUGAGUUGAGUCCACGAUCGUCAGCGAGUCCAAUUAUUUCUUCUACCGACUCACAUUCCGAUAUUUCCAGAGCUUCUAGUUUUUCAAGUCUUUCCACCAUAUCAAAUGGUAAAACAUUUGAAAGUUUGUCACACUGUUUCACCGCAAGAAUGGUUAAUUCAUGAAAUGAAUCCUUAGUGAGUUUAUCAUGCCAUAUCUUUCUACACUUUCCCAUGCCUGCAAUUAUCAAACGGCACAAGCUAGGAAACGCAACCUGCGAGAAUUAUUUAAGUUGUUAAUGAGGAAAACAAGUUAGAAUUCUACAUGGAUAUGAAAAGUAAAAUUACUACAAAAAAAUAAAAGAAGAAUAUCACCUUUUGGUUGAAGAGAGUAUUGGUCUCUGAGUUUUCUUGAUGGCAGAAUGUCCUUAGUUUUGGAAGCCCAUCGAGAAUCAGGAAAUAUAGCUUUGUGAACAAGUAAAUCUGAGGUAUCCCAUCUUCUGCUGUGGCUGCUAAUCCAUCUGUAAAGAUUAUUUCUUCCAUGUUCUCGCAAUUGUGAAGGCUAAGUAGAAGGAGCCGCUCAAAAUUUUUGACUAAAAAGGAUGGGAAUAGAUAUUCCAAAUUGUGGCAACGCUUCACAAAUAAGAAUUGUAAGUUAAGCACAUUAGAGGAUAUAGCCCUGUCUGGUUUAUCAGGCCAUAAUUUUUUGAUCUUAGUUGAUGAUAGCUUCAAGUACUUCAAGUGGGCACACAAAACCUGCAGACAAAAUCCUCAUUGCAUGAAUUAUGCAUGCUUGUGAUGAUAAAUACAUACACUCAUUGAUUAAUGCUAAAGCAUUUGUUAUCAAAACAAAACAAUUUGAAUUAUCAUUAAAAACAAUUAUUUAAUUAAUGGUCAGACUUCUUUUUUCUAUUUUUUUCUCAAGAUUACGGAAUUAAUUUUAUUACAUUUGAAUUAUCAUUAAAAACUAUUAUUUAUUACAUUUUGGCAUUGUCAUAACAUACUCUUACACUAUUAGUUAUAACAUUGAAUUUGAACAAUCUUUAACAUACGACAUUUUUAGUUUCUAUCCGUAGAAAAUUUGUACCCUACUUUCUUAUUCUAUUAUUUAAUUUAAGUUUUCACCCAAAUAAAUUAAAAAGUUAAAACACUAAACAAAAGAGAAGAGACUAACCUUAUGAUUGAAAAAGGGUGUCUUUUCUCUGCCAAGUAUCUCUAUAUCCUCUUGCUCCCUUGUAGAUGCCAUUGCAUACAUCUUUGGGCAAUCUUUGACUGCGAUUUUUAAUAAAGAUGGACAUUCCAGGGUACUACUUCCCAUAAAAAAACUUGUCAACCUUGAACAUGACUCAAGUCUUAUCUCCCGAAGCUCGGGUAACAAGAGUAUAUCCAUUUCAGUUUCCUCUGCUCCUUUGAUAAUCUGCUCCAUCAUAGGGCAUUGUUUCACUUUUAUGUCUUGUAGUUGCACAAGAUCUAAAGCCAUGGAUACGUUAAAUAUGUAUAUCAUGGUAUUACACUCAUAAACUUCUAAAACCUUAAGGUUCUUGAAAUCUAAACUUCCAUGAACGUUCUCCUUCCAUAUUUCAAUUGACCUGGAAAAAUCAGAGAGGACUAAAUACUCGAUAGCUUGGAACCCAGCCUACAAAAUCCAGCAAAGAAACAAGGAUUAAAAUUCAUAAAGGUUAGAACGAAGCCAACCCAAACCAUAUGAAAGAAAGAAUGACAUUAUGGAAUAUACAAUAGUACCUUUAUUGAAUAAAUUUCUUGGAUGGUGUUGUUAAGGUCACUACACCAAUGUCCAUUAUCUUUUCCACAUACUACUUUUUGCAAUAAUGGUGGAUUACUUAAAACUCCCUUACAAAAUAUCUCCAAUUCAGGGCAACCACUUACAAUUAAUUCCUGUAAACAUGGGAAUCUUAAUGUGUGGCUGCCAGAACAAAAGCUCUUAAGUCGCGGUAGAUUCACAAGUUCCAAACUUCUCAGCCUGCUGAAAAUAAUGUCACAAGUUGCUUCACCUCCCUCAGUUGCAACUAUUUCCUUCAUUGAAAUGCAGUCUCUAACCCUCAACUUCUUAAGUUGGGCCAUACCUUGGACUGCUAAACAUGUAUCCAAGUAUUUCAUUGCUUCGCAAUUCCACACAUCCAAUGUGGUGAGAUUUUGAAAUGAUGCUGAGGAUGAUCCUAAGCAGAUCAAAUUAUCACAAUCGUGAACUUCAAGAGUCUCAAGUUUGGGUAGAAUGUGGUCCACUUGUACAUCUUGCUUCCAUAAAUAAUUGUUUAGAGUAUUAAGAGAUACCAAUUUUAAGUUUCUAAUUGUUGACAAACGCCCAGCAUACAUCUCCUCAUUACCGGUAUCUCUUUCAGAACAGAAUAGCUCUUUUAUUUCACAAUAAGUGAUAAUAAGGCUUUCAAGAGUGUGGAAUCUCUCAAGGAAAGAAAUUCGGAAAUAAAUUGAUUUUGCAGCGUGGCCAUGCACUUCAAAAACUUUUAUUUCAUGGAAAGGGCUGCUUGAAAAUUGACCAUCACUUAUCAUUGCAAUGUAAUCACUAUCUAAUGUCAAAUGUUGUAGCUUAGGGAUGACCUGAAAACCAAUCAGAAAGCAAUUUUGGAGUCAAUAUGUUCAUCUUCAAACUAAGAAUAGCAUCGGUUACAUAAAUGAAACAUCAUAUAUUUUCAAAAACUUCUUAAUACUCUCUUCAUCAGUAAUUAAUUUUUCUAAGUAAUAUUUCAACCUUAAUUAUCAUAAAUUUUUGUGCUAAUCAAUAAAUAAUAAAAAAAACCCAAUAAUAAUAGUAAAUUAAUUUGAUGGUUUAGAGUUUAAUCUAAGAUUUUAGAUUUUAGAGUUCAUUGUUGGAUUUAUGGUUUAUGGUUUAGGUUCAUGAUUUAGAAUUUAAGAGAAUUUCCUUUGUUUGUUAAUUAGCGUAAAAAAAAGUUAGUUUUUACAGUUCAUACCUUUUCAACCAAGAAAAGUGGUGGAUGGAUUGGGGAGUCAAGUUGUCCAUUGUUAGUGUUCAGAUGUGUACCCAAUAUCUUCAUUUUCCCACACUCAACUACUUCCAACUUGCUUAACAGUGGCCACUUUGCAGUAUGCUUACCCGGGUAGAAACAUUUCAAUUCUGGUAGCCUCCAAAGUACAAGGUCGUAUAGUUGAUCAAACUCGAAAUUGACUGCUGUUUCUGAAUCUGAUCCUUCCUCUAAUUUGGAAACAAUCUCCUCCACCCCAGAAUGAGAUAUUGCAAGAUAACCAAGUUUUGGUAGGUCUUUGGCUAUUGAGGCUGGAAAUACAUUCUUCAAACUUUGACAGUCACAAACAGUUAUUGCACAGAUUUUUUUAAAUGAAAAAAUUCCUUUGGGAUCACUUUUCCAAAUAUAUUUCAACUUUGGUAAUUCAAUAAGAUGCAAUUCUCUUAGUUGAGCGGUUGCAGGCAAAGCGGUUUCGUUUUCUUCAUGCAUGAUUUCAAAUACUUGUUGUAAGGAACCACAAUUCCCUACGAAUAGACGGUGCAACCUUUGAAAUGUUAUCAGCAUAUUAGAUGGAAAAAUGGUUAACAACUCAUCACAUCCGUUAACAACCAAUACUUGUAGUUUGGGAAAUGAAUUUGGUGGAAGUGGGUUCCGCCAUAUCAUCUUCAUCUUUCUCAAGAAGGAAAUAAUCACUUUCUCCAAAUUGGGAAAUGCAACCUGCACUCAUGUCAAUAUAAUGAAAUUAGAAAAUAAAUAAAUUUCUAAAAAUUUAAGAGGAAAAAAAAUAAAAGAAAUGCUCGUUUUUUUAUUCUAAUGCAUACAAACAAAUUAUUCGAAAUUGAAAUAAUAAAUAAGUGAAAUGUUUGAUAGUCUUAAAAUAUGUAUUUUCAAAAAGUCAUUUUCAACUGUACCAAAAAAUGACAAAUGAAAUUUACCUUUAUCUUUCAAUUUUUUCAUCUAUCGUAUCGACCACAUUCUAGGAACCAAGAAUAAAUGUUUUCUAUCUUUUUACUUUAAUUUUUCAUCUCUUCAAUAUUCUUUCCAUUAUAACAUUAAAGCCAAAGCCAACAAGGAGAAAAUGAGUAAACCUACAAUUUAAGAAUUAACCCACCUUAUUGUCAAACAGAUCACCUUGACUAGAGAUUCGUUGGUUCCCUUCCCUUGUAUAUCUACAUAUGAAGCCCUCCAAGUUUGGACAGUUGUAUAUCGUCAUUGACUUCAUAAAUGGAAAUUCAAUAACUUUAUUUUGAGAAUUGAAGCAAAAUCCACGCAAAUGCUGAAGAUCCUUUAGCUCUAAGGACUUUAACUGAGGAAAUAAUGAUAAAGUCAUGGCAACCUGAGUUUCUUCUUCUAUAUCCUCCCAAAGGAUUAUCUCCUCUAAGCAGUUGCACUUAGUUACCUCAAAAUAUUUGAGAUGAACUAGAUAUUUAGCCAUAGAAAAUGAUAACAGGUAUUUUAUGUUUCCACAACCCUCGAUUUUCAAUGUGGUUAACUUCUCAUGAGUGUAAAAAGAUACAUUUGACAACUGGUUCUGCCAUACCCUUGUAACAUUAAGCGAUGAUAACUGCAAUUUCUCCAAGAAAGGGAACGAUAUCUACAACCAUACACAUAGUUAAUUCUACUUUCAAAUCAAUAUUGUAAAUAUAUAUAUAAUUCUAUUUUUGCAAUUACCAAAUAAUAAAGUCUGCCGAUCAAAAAAAAGUGUCAUAUAAUAGAAAAUUUCUAGUAAAUAUAAAAUAUGUUGAGAGUAUUGGGGACAGAAGAACCCAUCAUAUGAUCAGAAAAAGGGAAAAAAAAAAUACCACGUAACUAAGCAACAACACGAGCAAUACGGCAUGAUUCGGAAAAAGGAAAGAAAGCCUUGAAAGAUAUUGAAUUAUAGAUACCUUUUCUCCGAAAAGUGGCAAUUCACGUUGAGGCAAUGAGGUAGCAUCGAUUUUGUCUUGAGAGCAAAAGCUAACGAGUUGAGGAAGACCCUGCAAUGUCAAGGACUGCAAUCCCGGAAAUUCAUUUCUAUCAUUAGUGAUAGAUUCAAUAUCCAAACCAUUUUGGAUAUGCAGAUUCUGCAAAUGUGAUAACCUUUCCUCAUCUAUUAAAUCCUUCAGUGCAAUCUUUACACCUUUCAAUUCAUCCAAUUCUAAAUAUUGAGUUCUCUUUACCAACUUCUUAAUUCCAUGAUCCAAAUCAUCAAUGCUUUUGUUUAGCCUGAGUUUUAAGGUUCUUGAAUAUUGAGAGUUGCCAAACCGCUCCCAUUCCUUUCCUAUGAAAAUCUUGUAUCUUUCCAACUUUUGCAACUUUUGAAAGAAGUCCUCUGGGGCAGCCUUGGCGUCCGGAAUUUGAACUUCUAAAGUGGACAAAUG
This 66188-nucleotide long non-coding RNA is filed under the name Gossypium raimondii (Peruvian cotton). Its description in RNAcentral is "long non-coding RNA (GRAI_LNC005826)". The stretch from base 25942 to 26028 matches the Rfam family "MIR7486 microRNA precursor family". Lineage: Eukaryota; Viridiplantae; Streptophyta; Magnoliopsida; Malvales; Malvaceae. The record is from RNAcentral.